CUGACAAUACAUUCACCAUAUGGUUUAAGUAUCGGAUGUGAAUCAAAGUUUUUAUCUCCCAAUGCAUGCUGACAAAAUAAGGAUAAAGCACUUUCAUCAGAUAGAAUAGGCAAAUGAUAAGGUUCAUUGUUACCAAGUUGGGUUAACAACGACAUCUUCCGGGUCGUCAUGAUAACUUUACUUCCGGGUGCCCCUGCAAGAAAUGGCCCUGCUAGGAUUUCCCAAUCCGUAUAGCUUUCACUCCACACAUCAUCUAAAACAAGCAGAAAUCGCUUAUUUGAGAUCUUCUCUCUUAAAGCUACUUGAAGUAGAUUUAAAUCCUUAAAUUCUUGGUUGCCCCCGCCUAUUGAUUGAAAAAUAAUAUUGCUUAUAUUGAAGAUAUCAAACUCAUCAGAAACACAGACCCACGCCAUGAGUUCAAAAUGAUCCUUCCCUUGCAUUUCAUCAUACAAAAGUCUAGCGAGAGUGGUCUUACCUACCCCACCCAUACCAACUAUGGGCACGAUGCUAAAGUUUCUAUCACAUGGUUCAUAUAGCUUGUGGAUCAAAGCAUCCUUUUCAUCUUUGCGUCCAAUAAUACUAGAUGCAUCUACCAGAGAGGUCUCUAACCUUCUAUUUCUAUGUUUUGGGCUUUCACCUAUCACACUCAAACCAAGCUUAUAUUUUUCCUCAAACAGUUCUUGUAACUUGAUGGUGAUAUUUCCAAACUUGUCAUGCAUUCUAGCACUUGGUAAGAGCUUUCUUACCUUGCUUGAGGUUCCGGAUUCCUCUGUGAACUCACGAUGCAUAGCUUCCGUUGACAAUUCGUCAAGUAGAUCGUCUAUGUCGUAAGCCAAAUGUUGGAGACUAUUCAGCCAUUCUUUAACAGCUUCCUGACGUAUUUCCUUCUGAGAAGCAUCAUUAAGCAGAUCUUUGAUCUUGAUUAAUGAUAUCUUUAACUUCUCCACGUCGUCGGCAUCAAUUUUCUUGAAACGAGCAAACUGCUUGAAGGCUUCGGAGGCCAGCUUGUCACAGAACAAAGAGUACAGGGCAGAAAUGAUUCCAGCCAUUGCUUACGAUGAAGGCGUAGGUAUGAAUGAUAGAGAUGAAGAUGAAUUGAGCGUGACUUUUGAUUGAAAAGAACGAUCCAAGUUGUCCAUUGUUUAUUGGUCAACGCCUUUUUGCCACCGCUUUACUUUUAAAUAGUCCAGCGGAUCGUCUAGACGAAAUUUCAUAAAUAAUCCCUUAGUUUAUCAAAUAUUAUAAUUUUAGUUCUAGCUUUUUUAUUUGUAUCAAUUGGGUCGGUGUUGUUUUCAGUUUUGCAAAAGCAAUCCAUCUUCUGUUCGAUCUAACCGGUCUAUAGUUAGAUUGUUCUUUAUGACAUUGUACCGUUAAACCAAAUUUGCAAUUAAUUAUUUAUUAGAAUAAAUUACAUGAAUCGUCUCUUAUUCAAGUGUGAAAAUACAUGUUUAGUCUCUCUUUCUAAAAAUUAACUCGGACUAUCCUUGCAUUUUUUUUUUCAAUCGGGUCUUCCCAGUAGACAUAAAAUGACUAAAACAUGUUAGUUUUCAUUUGCAUUAAGUAGUUUUUAAAUUAUUAAGACAUAUACUAAAAUAUGCUUAAGCAGAAGCAACUUAUAAGACCUUAAACUCUACACUACUCAAAGCAAGAAAGGAGAAGGAAAAGCGCCAUGGUGGUCUCGGUUUUUUAAGAUGAAAAAUAAAAAAGAAUAACUAGUUCAAGCCUCCUACCUCCUUUAUAUACUCAUAUACUUAGAUGAAAGUUGAUUCUUUCAUUUAAUGGGAUCAUGAUUUACAAGCAACUCAUGAAGUAUAAGAACAUAAAAGUCAAAGAAACAACCACCAUGUCUCACUAAACAUGGAGUAUGAAAAGAUUAUGAGUGGAAUCCACAUCAUCACUCUUAUAAAUAUAGACAAUAUAUAAAAUUGUCUUUUAUAAGUCAAAUAUUAUGUACAUUGUUGGGCUGAAGAUAGUUUUGAUGUUGCGUCUUUUGGGCUCGUUAGUUUAGCCUUGUAUUCUCCGGGUUGGGCCUGUCCAACCGAGAGUCUUUUAUGUAUUGUAUAUAAGUUAAAUGCUUGCAUGCAUAUUAGGUUAAGAUUGCAGAGAUUAUCGAAAUAGGGAUUCAUCAGAGUAUAAUAUUUUUCCUGUAAUCGUUCUUGUAAUCUUCUAAUCCUUUACAGUUGAUGUUCUUAAUCGAGCUCUUCUAAGGAUUUUAUUUAAUCAUUCGACACGAUUGAUUCAAGCUGUUUGUUCUUAUUAUUGUGUUUUUACUAUUUCAUAUUCAUAUACUUGUUCAAGAUCUAAUCGAUCUUCGUAGAUUAAAAGUUGUAUUAAUCCCAUCAUACAUAACAUUAUAAUCAUACCAUAUGUCGUCCCAAAAACCAAGGUAAACAUUUUUCAAAUUUUAAAAUGAAUUAAAAUCCAUUUCAUAAAAGUUAAACACCAUAAAUUCAUUCUUUUACCAAAUGGAGUCAAAAUCAAAGUAUCAAAUAAUAAAGUCUACUGGAUAUUGUGUAUUGUCACACCGUCGCCUUGCCUUUAUCUUCAGAAGUCCCUGAAACAUUUAAAUCCACAACGGUAAGCCAAAGCUUGGCGAGUUCCCUACAAUACCUCAGAUAACAAUAAACAUAUAAUGCAUCCACACAAGGUUAGAUUGCCACAUGGGUGUAACACCCUGUUUCAGAUUGUUUUGUGAUUCAAGAUCAUGGACCGCGAUUUAAUUAUAUGUAGGCUUUGGGGAUUUUAAAGAAGUAAGCUUUGGACUUUAUUGAAAGAUGUUAUUGCUGGUAAUGGGAUCCAGACCUAUGAAUCGUGUAUUCGAAACUGAGGAUAGACUGGGGAAAUAUGUGUCAGGCCGCUUGGGUAACGCCCCAUUUCUGGUAUGUAAUUUAAUUGUGCAUUUUUCAGUUUUCAAGAGGAACUCGACGAGUCAGUAGCCCGACUCGUCAAGUAGAGACGGGAUUUUGAGCAUGUUUAAGUAGGCAACUCGAUGAGUCCAUAUUCGUGGACUCGGCGAGUCCGCCUGUCUGGAAGAAACCCUAAUUUCAAGGGUUUGCACCCUAUUUAAACAACUUUUUGGGGCUCAAGUCAGCCCCCAUCACUUCCAGAACACUCCUCUCGAAACCCUAGCAUUCCUUAUACCUUUUGAGUAUAUUUUGUGUGGUUCUUUGAAGAUUUGGAGAGAAGAAGGAAGGUAGAUCCAAAGGAAAAGAAGAAGAUUAAAGAUCUUGAGUCCAUUUAGAAGCUUUGAGAGGUAUAACUCGAACAUCUACUGUUUCCAUGCUUAAAUCUCCAUUAAAACCCCAAUAUAAUCAUUUCUAGGACAUUUCUUAGCUUGUUAGUGAAUAGAGAGCUCAUAUGAGCAAAAGGACAUCAGAUCUAGUCAUAAUCGAGCUCUAGAAGCUCAGAUCCACUGCCUUUAUUGAGUCAAAUUCGUAUGCAAGCCUAGAUCUACACUUUGAAUCCAUUUAGAUCCCUUUAAACUCUUGUAUAUGCAUGCAUGCAUGUAAAGUUGGAAACUUUACGUGUAAAAACCACCCUAGGAACCCAGAUCUAUGAGUUGAAUGUGUUGGAAUCGAUCAAAAUUGGUUGUAUGGUAUUUGCAUGCAAGCGACUCGGCGAGUUGUUCAUCAGACUCGACGAGUCGAGUCGCGAGUCCCCAAUUUUCCCCCUUUUGAUUUAAUUGAGUGGAACCAGUGAGUUAGAGGUGGACUCGGUGAGUCGAGAGCCGGACUCAAUAAUGGAAAGACUCGGCGAGUAAAUUCCCUAACUCGACGAGUCCAAGGCAAUCUUAUUGCCUCAAGAACAGACUCGACGAUAUGAUGAANACCAGAGUGUUCUUAUGAUGAAGGAGAACUCGACGAGUUGUUCAUACAACUCGGCGAGUCAGAUGAAAAUAGACUGAUUAUUCGCAUCGAAGAGGAACUCGUCGAGUCUAUGCCAAACUCGACGAGUAGUAACGGACAGGAAUUAAAAAUGAGAGCAUGGACACGACGAGUUGGCGUCCCAACUCGGCGAGUCAGGUCAACUGUAUGUUGACUUUGACCAUAGUGUUGACUUCCUCCAGGGGUAAGAUAGUCAUUUUACCCUCAGAUUAGUUAUCAGUAUUUGAUUGAGUGUGUUUAUGGGAAUUAUAGCCGGGGAGAUACCGGAGCAGCAGCAGAGAGUUCCCAAGUAGAUUUUCAGCAGCCAGCUUUCGAGGUGAGUUUCCUUCCAGUAGGAACGAGUCUACGGCCAUAAUGCCAGCUUGUUUAGUUAGCAAUGGUUCCGGACUUCGGUCCGAUGCAGUAGUUCAGGGUGCUUGAUGUCUUUGUGAUUCAAGCAUGUCUUUGUGUUAUGUGUUCCGGACUUCGGUCCGAUGCAGUAUACAGUAUAUGUGUUUAUGCUAGUUGAUAUGUGUUUAUGCUAUGCUAUGAUCAGUCAGUUCCGGACUUCGGUCCGAUGCAGGGGACAAGGUCCCAGUCAGUUCCGGACUUCGGUCCGAUGCAGGGGACAAGGUCCCAGUUAGUUCCAGACUUCGGUCCGAUGCAGAGGGCAAGUCCCUGGUUAGUUUCCGGACUUCGGUCCGAUGCAGUUUCCAGACUUCGGUCCGAUGCAGUUUCCGAACUUCGAUCCGAUGCAGUGGGCAAGGCCCAGUAUGUGCUUUAUAUAUUAUUGUAUGGUAUGUGGUAGUUUGGGGGAGCUCACUAAGCUUUGUGCUUACAAUUUUCAGUUUUGGUUUCAGGUACUUCCGCUAGCAAAGGGAAGAGCUCGGGAUGACGGCAUCGCACACACCACAGCCUCAGUUUUAUCCUGGGAGUUUUAAUUGGAUAAUGUUAUGAUCGAUACAAUUUUUGUUUAGACACAGUUACUAUGAAAUUUGAGUUACUCAUUUAAUGGUUUUUAUUAUUUAUGAUAUCCGAUGAUGUGAUUUUAGUAAUAUUAAAACAGAAAUUUUUGAGUUGUAUUUUGGGUCAUUAUAAGCUGGUAUCAAAGCCUUGGUUUGAGGGAUUUAAGCACACUUACGGGUAUCACUAAACUCAAACUAAGGAAAUAGUAAAAGGUUUUUGAAAGAAAAAUGUUUUCAAAAGAAUUUUUGAAAAAGAGACUUAAAAAUAAAAGAGUUUUGAAAACGAGAAAAAGGUGUGGUGCAUGCAAUCAGCCAAGCUCAAGUAAGUACUCCCAAAUUACCCAUACAAGUUUACAUUAUGAGUAUCUGUUUCAGUUUCAGUAGAACAGCAUGCUAGAAUAGGACUAAGGAUCUAGGGAGAUGCCUUAUGCGCCUGCUAUAUGUGUUUCAGCUUUAUGAGAAUUGCAUGCUAGUACUGAGUAGACAGUAGUAGGAUAGCCUGUUUAGGUUAUGCCUGAUAGUAUGAGCUUAGCAUUGUAUGCUAGUACAGUUUCUUUUUAUGAGGAUAGAGUUGCUUGAGUAGUUUCCUGUGUUCAAAUGCUGCUUGCUUUGUGCUUUGUGGGACUCUGAGUAAUGGGAGUUAUCCAUUAGGUGAAUACAUCACAUCGCAUGUGAUCAGGGUUGAAUAAUCUCAGAGUGUUGGAUUUGGCCCUACUACGAAGCUCUUGUUUCCAUGCUUAAAUCUCCAUUAACACCCCAAUAUAAUCAUUUCUAGGACAUUUCUUAGCUUGUUAGUGAAUAGAGAGCUCAUAUGAGCAAAAGGACAUCAGAUCUAGUCAUAAUCGAGCUCUAAAAGCUCAUAUCCACUGCCUUUAUUGAGUGCAAUUCGUAUGCAAGCCUAGAUCUACACUUUGAAUCCAUUUAGAGCCCUUUAAACUCUUGUAUAUGCAUGCAUGCACGUAAACUUGGAAACUUUACGUGUAAAAACCACCCUAGGAACCCAGAUCUAUGAGUUGAAUGCGUUGGAAUCGAUCAAAAUCGUUUGUAUGGUAUUUGCAUGCAAGCGACUUGGCGAGUUGUUCAUCAGACUCGACGAGUCGAGUCGCGAGUCCCCGAUUUUCCCCCUUUUGAUUUAAUUGAGUGGAGCUAGUGUGUUAGAGGUGGACUCAGUGAAUCGAGAGCCGGACUCAAUAAUGGAAAGACUCGGCGAGUCAAUGCCCUAACUCGACGAGUCCAAGGAAUUGUUCUUGCCUCAAGAACCGACUCGACGAGUUGUUCAUACAACUCGACAAGUCUCAGACCAGAGUGUUCUUAUGAUGAAGGAGAACUCGACGAGUUGUUCAUACAACUCGGCGAGUCAGAUGAAAAUAGACUGAUUAUUCGCAUCGAAGAGGAACUCGUCGAGUCUAUGCCAAACUCGACGAGUAGUAGCGGACAGGAAUUAGAAAUGAGAGCAUGGACUCGACGAGUUGGCGUCCCAACUCGGCGAGUCAGGUCAACUGUAUGUUGACUUUGACCAUAGUGUUGACUUCCUCCAGGGGUAAGAUAGUCAUUUUACCCUCAGAUUAGUUAUCAGUAUUUGAUUGAGUGUGUUUAUGGGAAUUAUAGCCGGGGAGAUACCGGAGCAGCAGCAGAGAGUUCCCAAGUAGAUUUUCAGCAGCCAGCUUUCGAGGUGAGUUUCCUUCCAGUAGGAACGAGUCUACGGCCACAAUGCCGGCCCGUUUAGUUAGCAGUGGUUCCGGACUUCGGUCCGAUGCAGUAGUUCAGGGUGCUUGAUGUCUUUGUGAUUCAAGCAUGUCUUUGUGUUAUGUGUUCCGGACUUCGGUCCGAUGCAGUAUACAGUAUAUGUGUUUAUGCUAGUUGAUAUGUGUUUAUGCUAUGCUAUGAUCAGUCAGUUCCGGACUUCGGUCCGAUGCAGGGGACAAGGUCCCAGUCAGUUCCGGACUUCGGUCCGAUGCAGGGGACAAGGUCCCAGUUAGUUCCAGACUUCGGUCCGAUGCAGAGGGAAAGUCCCUGGUUAGUUUCCGGACUUCGGUCCGAUGCAGUUUCCGAACUUCGAUCCGAUGCAGUGGGCAAGGCCCAGUAUGUGCUUUAUAUAUUAUUGUAUGGUAUGUGGUAGUUUGGGGGAGCUCACUAAGCUUUGUGCUUACAAUUUUCAGUUUUGGUUUCAGGUACUUCCGCUAGCAAAGGGAAGAGCUCGGGAUGACGGCGUCGCACACACCACAGCCUCAGUUUUAUCCUGGGAGUUUUAAUUGGAUAAUGUUAUGAUCGAUACAAUUUUUGUUUAGACACAGUUACUAUGACAUUUGAGUUACUCAUUUUAUGGUUUUUAUUAUUUAUGAUAUCUGAUGAUGUGAUUUUAGUAAUAUUAAAACAAAAAUUUUUGGGUUGUAUUUUGGGUCAUUACAAGUUGGUAUCAAAGCCUUGGUUUGAGGGAUUUAAGCACACGUACGGGUAUCACUAAACUCAAACUAAGGAAAUAGUAAAAGGUUUUUGAAAGAAAAAUGUUUUCAAAAGAAUUUUUGAAAAAGAGACUUAAAAAUAAAAGAGUUUUGAAAACGAGAAAAGGGUGUGGUGCAUGCAAUCAGCCAAGCUCAAGUAAGUACUCCCAAAUUACCCAUACAAGUUUACAUUAUGAGUAUAUGUUUCAGUUUUAGUAGAACAGCAUGCUAGAAUAGGACUAAGGAUCUAGGGAGAUGCCUUAUGCGCCUGCUAUAUGUGUUUCAGCUUUAUGAGAAUUGCAUGCUAGUACUGAGUAGACAGCAGUAGGAUAGCCUGUUUAGGUUAUGCCUGAUAGUAUGAGCUUAGCAUUGUAUGCUAGUACAGUUUCUUGUUAUGAGGAUAGAGUUGCUUGAGUAGUUUCCUGUGUUCAAAUGCUGCUUGCUUUGUGCUUUGUGGGACUCCGAGUAAUGGGAGUUAUCCAUUAGGUGAAUACAUCACAUCGUAUGUGAUCAGGGUUGAAUAAUCUCAGAGUGUUGGAUUUGGCCCUACUACGAAGCUCUUGUUUCCAUGCUUAAAUCUCCAUUAAGACCCCAAUAUAAUAAUUUCUACGACAUUUCUUAGCUUGUUAGUGAAUAGAGAGCUCAUAUGAGCAAAAGGACAUCAGAUCUAGUCAUAAUCGAGCUCUAGAAGCUCAGAUCCACUGCCUUUAUUGAGUCAAAUUCGUAUGCAAGCCUAGAUCUACACUUUGAAUCCAUUUAGAGCCCUUUAAACUCUUGUAUAUGCAUGCAUGAACGUAAAGUUGGAAACUUUACGUGUAAAAACCACCCUAGGAACCCAGAUCUAUUAGUUGAAUGCGUUGGAAUCGAUCAAAAUCGUUUGUAUGGUAUUUGCAUGCAAGCGACUCGGCGAGUUGUUCAUAAGACUCGACGAGUCGAGUCGCGAGUCCCCGAUUUUCCCCCUUUUGAUUUAAUUGAGUGGAACAUGUGUGUUAGAGGUGGACUCAGUGAGUCGAGAGCCGGACUCAAUAAUGGAAAGACUCGGCGAGUCAAUGCCCUAACUCGACGAGUCCAAGGCAAUCUUCUUGCCUCAAGAACAGACUCGACGAGUUGUUCAUACAACUCGACGAGUCUCAGACCAGAGUGUUCUUAUGAUGAAGGAGAACUCGACGAGUUGUUCAUACAACUCGGCGAGUCAGAUGAAAAUAGACUGAUUAUUCGCAUCGAAGAGGAACUCGUCGAGUCUAUGCCAAACUCGACGAGUAGUAGCGGACAGGAAUUAGAAAUGAGAGCAUGGACUCGACGAGUUGGCGUCCCAACUCGGCGAGUCAGGUCAACUGUAUGUUGACUUUGACCAUAGUGUUGACUUCCUCCAGGGGUAAGAUAGUCAUUUUACCCUCAGAUUAGUUAUCAGUAUUUGAUUGAAUGUGUUUAUGGGAAUUAUAGCCGGGGAGAUACCGGAGCAGCAGCAGAGAGUUCCCAAGUAGAUUUUCAGCAGCCAGCUUUCGAGGUGAGUUUCCUUCCAGUAGGAACGAGUCUACGGCCACAAUGCCGGCCCGUUUAGUUAGCAGUGGUUCCGGACUUCGGUCCGAUGCAGUAGUUCAGGGUGCUUGAUGUCUUUGUGAUUCAAGCAUGUCUUUGUGUUAUGUGUUCCGGACUUCGGUCCGAUGCAGUAUACAGUAUAUGUGUUUAUGCUAGUUGAUAUGUGUUUAUGCUAUGCUAUGAUCAGUCAGUUCCGGACUUCGGUCCGAUGCAGGGGACAAGGUCCCAGUCAGUUCCGGACUUCGGUCCGAUGCAGGGGACAAGGUCCCAGUUAGUUCCAGACUUCGGUCCGAUGCAGAGGGAAAGUCCCUGGUUAGUUUCCGGACUUCGGUCCGAUGCAGUUUCCGAACUUCGAUCCGAUGCAGUGGGCAAGGCCCAGUAUGUGCUUUAUAUAUUAUUGUAUGGUAUGUGGUAGUUUGGGGGAGCUCACUAAGCUUUGUGCUUACAAUUUUCAGUUUUGGUUUCAGGUACUUCCGCUAGCAAAGGGAAGAGCUCGGGAUGACGGCGUCGCACACACCACAGCCUCAGUUUUAUCCUGGGAGUUUUAAUUGGAUAAUGUUAUGAUCGAUACAAUUUUUGUUUAGACACAGUUACUAUGACAUUUGAGUUACUCAUUUUAUGGUUUUUAUUAUUUAUGAUAUCUGAUGAUGUGAUUUUAGUAAUAUUAAAACAAAAAUUUUUGGGUUGUAUUUUGGGUCAUUACAAGUUGGUAUCAAAGCCUUGGUUUGAGGGAUUUAAGCACACGUACGGGUAUCACUAAACUCAAACUAAGUAAAUAGUAAAAGGUUUUUGAAAGAAAAAUGUUUUCAAAAGAAUUUUUGAAAAAGAGACUUAAAAAUAAAAGAGUUUUGAAAACGAGAAAAGGGUGUGGUGCAUGCAAUCAGCCAAGCUCAAGUAAGUACUCCCAAAUUACCCAUACAAGUUUACAUUAUGAGUAUAUGUUUCAGUUUUAGUAGAACAGCAUGCUAGAAUAGGACUAAGGAUCUAGGGAGAUGCCUUAUGCGCCUGCUAUAUGUGUUUCAGCUUUAUGAGAAUUGCAUGCUAGUACUGAGUAGACAGCAGUAGGAUAGCCUGUUUAGGUUAUGCCUGAUAGUAUGAGCUUAGCAUUGUAUGCUAGUACAGUUUCUUGUUAUGAGGAUAGAGUUGCUUGAGUAGUUUCCUGUGUUCAAAUGCUGCUUGCUUUGUGCUUUGUGGGACUCCGAGUAAUGGGAGUUAUCCAUUAGGUGAAUACAUCACAUCGUAUGUGAUCAGGGUUGAAUAAUCUCAGAGUGUUGGAUUUGGCCCUACUACGAAGCUCUUGUUUCCAUGCUUAAAUCUCCAUUAAGACCCCAAUAUAAUAAUUUCUACGACAUUUCUUAGCUUGUUAGUGAAUAGAGAGCUCAUAUGAGCAAAAGGACAUCAGAUCUAGUCAUAAUCGAGCUCUAGAAGCUCAGAUCCACUGCCUUUAUUGAGUCAAAUUCGUAUGCAAGCCUAGAUCUACACUUUGAAUCCAUUUAGAGCCCUUUAAACUCUUGUAUAUGCAUGCAUGAACGUAAAGUUGGAAACUUUACGUGUAAAAACCACCCUAGGAACCCAGAUCUAUUAGUUGAAUGCGUUGGAAUCGAUCAAAAUCGUUUGUAUGGUAUUUGCAUGCAAGCGACUUGGCGAGUUGUUCAUCAGACUCGACGAGUCGAGUCGCGAGUCUCCGAUUUUCCCCCUUUUGAUUUAAUUGAGUGGAGCUAGUGUGUUAGAGGUGGACUCAGUGAAUCGAGAGCCGGACUCAAUAAUGGAAAGACUCGGCGAGUCAAUGCCCUAACUCGACGAGUCCAAGGAAUUCUUCUUGCCUCAAGAACCGACUCGACGAGUUGUUCAAAAAACUCGACGAGUCUCAGACCAGAGUGUUCUUAUGAUGAAGGAGAACUCGACGAGUUGGUCAUACAACUCGGCGAGUCAGAUGAAAAUAGACUGAUUAUUCGCAUCGAAGAGGAACUCGUCGAGUCUAUGCCAAACUCGACGAGUAGUAACGGACAGGAAUUAGAAAUGAGAGCAUGGACUCGACGAGUUGGCGUCCCAACUCGGCGAGUCAGGUCAACUGUAUGUUGACUUUGACCAUAGUGUUGACUUCCUCGAGGGGUAAGAUAUUCAUUUUACCCUCAGAUUAGUUAUCAGUAUUUGAUUGAGUGUGUUUAUGGGAAUUAUAGCCGGGGAGAUACCGGAGCAGCAGCAGAGUGUUCCCAAGUAGAUUUUUAGCAGCUAGCUUUCGAGGUGAGUUUCCUUCCAGUAGGAACGAGUCUACGGCCACAACGCCGGCUCAUUUAGUUAGCAGCGGUUCUGGACUUCGGUCCGAUGCAGUAGUUCAGGGUGCUUGAUGUCUUUGUGAUUCAAGCAUGUCUUUGUGUUAUGUGUUCCGGACUUCGGUCCGAUGCAGUAUACAGUAUAUGUGUUUAUGCUAGUUGAUAUGUGUUUAUGCUAUGCUAUGAUCAGUCAGUUCCGGACUUCGGUCCGAUGCAGGGGACAAGGUCCCAGUCAGUUCCGGACUUCGGUCCGAUGCAGGGGACAAGGUCCUAGUUAGUUCCAGACUUCGGUCCGAAGCAGAGGGCAAGUCCUUGGUUAGUUUCCGGACUUCGGUCCGAUGCAGUUUCCGAACUUCGAUCCGAUGCAGUAGGCAAGGCCCAGUAUGUGCUUUAUAUAUUAUUAUAUGGUAUGUGGUAGUUUGGGGGAGCUCACUAAGCUUUGUGCUUACAAUUUUCAGUUUUGGUUUCAGGUACUUCCGCUAGCAAAGGGAAGAGCUCGGGAUGACGGCGUCGCACACACCACAGCCUCAGUUUUAUCCUGGGAGUUUUAAUUGGAUAAUGUUAUGAUCGAUACAAUUUUUGUUUAGACACAGUUACUAUGACAUUUGAGUUACUCAUUUUAUGGUUUUUAUUAUUUAUGAUAUCUGAUGAUGUGAUUUUAGUAAUAUUAAAACAAAAAUUUUUGGGUUGUAUUUUGGGUCAUUACAAGUUGGUAUCAAAGCCUUGGUUUGAGGGAUUUAAGCACACGUACGGGUAUCACUAAACUCAAACUAAGUAAAUAGUAAAAGGUUUUUGAAAGAAAAAUGUUUUCAAAAGAAUUUUUGAAAAAGAGACUUAAAAAUAAAAGAGUUUUGAAAACGAGAAAAGGGUGUGGUGCAUGCAAUCAGCCAAGCUCAAGUAAGUACUCCCAAAUUACCCAUACAAGUUUACAUUAUGAGUAUAUGUUUCAGUUUUAGUAGAACAGCAUGCUAGAAUAGGACUAAGGAUCUAGGGAGAUGCCUUAUGCGCCUGCUAUAUGUGUUUCAGCUUUAUGAGAAUUGCAUGCUAGUACUGAGUAGACAGCAGUAGGAUAGCCUGUUUAGGUUAUGCCUGAUAGUAUGAGCUUAGCAUUGUAUGCUAGUACAGUUUCUUGUUAUGAGGAUAGAGUUGCUUGAGUAGUUUCCUGUGUUCAAAUGCUGCUUGCUUUGUGCUUUGUGGGACUCCGAGUAAUGGGAGUUAUCCAUUAGGUGAAUACAUCACAUCGUAUGUGAUCAGGGUUGAAUAAUCUCAGAGUGUUGGAUUUGGCCCUACUACGAAGCUCUUGUUUCCAUGCUUAAAUCUCCAUUAAGACCCCAAUAUAAUAAUUUCUACGACAUUUCUUAGCUUGUUAGUGAAUAGAGAGCUCAUAUGAGCAAAAGGACAUCAGAUCUAGUCAUAAUCGAGCUCUAGAAGCUCAGAUCCACUGCCUUUAUUGAGUCAAAUUCGUAUGCAAGCCUAGAUCUACACUUUGAAUCCAUUUAGAGCCCUUUAAACUCUUGUAUAUGCAUGCAUGAACGUAAAGUUGGAAACUUUACGUGUAAAAACCACCCUAGGAACCCAGAUCUAUUAGUUGAAUGCGUUGGAAUCGAUCAAAAUCGUUUGUAUGGUAUUUGCAUGCAAGCGACUCGGCGAGUUGUUCAUAAGACUCGACGAGUCGAGUCGCGAGUCCCCGAUUUUCCCCCUUUUGAUUUAAUUGAGUGGAACAUGUGUGUUAGAGGUGGACUCAGUGAGUCGAGAGCCGGACUCAAUAAUGGAAAGACUCGGCGAGUCAAUGCCCUAACUCGACGAGUCCAAGGCAAUCUUCUUGCCUCAAGAACAGACUCGACGAGUUGUUCAUACAACUCGACGAGUCUCAGACCAGAGUGUUCUUAUGAUGAAGGAGAACUCGACGAGUUUGUUCAUACAACUCGGCGAGUCAGAUGAAAAUAGACUGAUUAUUCGCAUCGAAGAGGAACUCGUCGAGUCUAUGCCAAACUCGACGAGUAGUAGCGGACAGGAAUUAGAAAUGAGAGCAUGGACUCGACGAGUUGGCGUCCCAACUCGGCGAGUCAGGUCAACUGUAUGUUGACUUUGACCAUAGUGUUGACUUCCUCCAGGGGUAAGAUAGUCAUUUUACCCUCAGAUUAGUUAUCAGUAUUUGAUUGAAUGUGUUUAUGGGAAUUAUAGUCGGGGAGAUACCGGAGCAGCAACAGAGAGUUCCCAAGUAGAUUUUCAGCAGCCAGCUUUCGAGGUGAGUUUCCUUCCAGUAGGAACGAGUCUACGGCCACAAUGCCGGCCCGUUUAGUUAGCAGUGGUUCCGGACUUCGGUCCGAUGCAGUAGUUCAGGGUGCUUGAUGUCAUUGUGAUUCAAGCAUGUCUUUGUGUUAUGUGUUCCGGCUUCGGUCCGAUGCAGUAUACAGUAUAUGUGUUUAUGCUAGUUUAUAUGUGUUUAUGCUAUGCUAUGAUCAGUCAGUUCCGGACUUCGGUCCGAUGCAGGGGACAAGGUCCCAGUUAGUUCCAGACUUCGGUCCGAUGCAGAGGGAAAGUCCCUGGUUAGUUUCCGGACUUCGGUCCGAUGCAGUUUCCGAACUUCGAUCCGAUGCAGUGGGCAAGGCCCAGCAUGUGGUUUACAUAUUAUUGUAUGGUAUAUGGUACUUUGGGGGAGCUCACUAAGCUUUGUGCUUACAAUUUUCAGUUUUGGUUUCAGGUACUUCCGCUAGCAAAGGGAAGAGCUCGGGAUGAUGGCGUCGCACACACCACAGCCGCAGUUUUAUCCUGGGAGUUUUAAUUGGAUAAUGUUAUGAUCGAUACAAUUUUUGUUUAGACACAGUUACUAUGACAUUUGAGUUACUCAUUUUAUGGUUUUUAUUAUUUAUGAUAUCUGAUGAUGUGAUUUUAGUAAUAUUAAAACAAAAAUUUUUGGGUUGUAUUUUGGGUCAUUACAAGUUGGUAUCAAAGCCUUGGUUUGAGGGAUUUAAGCACACGUACGGGUAUCACUAAACUCAAACUAAGUAAAUAGUAAAAGGUUUUUGAAAGAAAAAUGUUUUCAAAAGAAUUUUUGAAAAAGAGACUUAAAAAUAAAAGAGUUUUGAAAACGAGAAAAGGGUGUGGUGCAUGCAAUCAGCCAAGCUCAAGUAAGUACUCCCAAAUUACCCAUACAAGUUUACAUUAUGAGUAUAUGUUUCAGUUUUAGUAGAACAGCAUGCUAGAAUAGGACUAAGGAUCUAGGGAGAUGCCUUAUGCGCCUGCUAUAUGUGUUUCAGCUUUAUGAGAAUUGCAUGCUAGUACUGAGUAGACAGCAGUAGGAUAGCCUGUUUAGGUUAUGCCUGAUAGUAUGAGCUUAGCAUUGUAUGCUAGUACAGUUUCUUGUUAUGAGGAUAGAGUUGCUUGAGUAGUUUCCUGUGUUCAAAUGCUGCUUGCUUUGUGCUUUGUGGGACUCCGAGUAAUGGGAGUUAUCCAUUAGGUGAAUACAUCACAUCGUAUGUGAUCAGGGUUGAAUAAUCUCAGAGUGUUGGAUUUGGCCCUACUACGAAGCUCUUGUUUCCAUGCUUAAAUCUCCAUUAAGACCCCAAUAUAAUAAUUUCUACGACAUUUCUUAGCUUGUUAGUGAAUAGAGAGCUCAUAUGAGCAAAAGGACAUCAGAUCUAGUCAUAAUCGAGCUCUAGAAGCUCAGAUCCACUGCCUUUAUUGAGUCAAAUUCGUAUGCAAGCCUAGAUCUACACUUUGAAUCCAUUUAGAGCCCUUUAAACUCUUGUAUAUGCAUGCAUGAACGUAAAGUUGGAAACUUUACGUGUAAAAACCACCCUAGGAACCCAGAUCUAUUAGUUGAAUGCGUUGGAAUCGAUCAAAAUCGUUUGUAUGGUAUUUGCAUGCAAGCGACUCGGCGAGUUGUUCAUAAGACUCGACGAGUCGAGUCGCGAGUCCCCGAUUUUCCCCCUUUUGAUUUAAUUGAGUGGAACAUGUGUGUUAGAGGUGGACUCAGUGAGUCGAGAGCCGGACUCAAUAAUGGAAAGACUCGGCGAGUCAAUGCCCUAACUCGACGAGUCCAAGGCAAUCUUCUUGCCUCAAGAACAGACUCGACGAGUUGUUCAUACAACUCGACGAGUCUCAGACCAGAGUGUUCUUAUGAUGAAGGAGAACUCGACGAGUUUGUUCAUACAACUCGGCGAGUCAGAUGAAAAUAGACUGAUUAUUCGCAUCGAAGAGGAACUCGUCGAGUCUAUGCCAAACUCGACGAGUAGUAGCGGACAGGAAUUAGAAAUGAGAGCAUGGACUCGACGAGUUGGCGUCCCAACUCGGCGAGUCAGGUCAACUGUAUGUUGACUUUGACCAUAGUGUUGACUUCCUCCAGGGGUAAGAUAGUCAUUUUACCCUCAGAUUAGUUAUCAGUAUUUGAUUGAGUGUGUUUAUGGGAAUUAUAGCCGGGGAGAUACCGGAGCAGCAGCAGAGAGUUCCCAAGUAGAUUUUCAGCAUCCAGCUUUCGAGGUGAGUUUCCUUCCAGUAGGAACGAGUCUACGGCCACAAUGUCGGCCCGUUUAGUUAGCAGGGGUUCCGGACUUCGGUCCGAUGCAGUAGUUCAGGGUGCUUGAUGUCUUUGUGAUUCAAGCAUGUCUUUGUGUUAUGUGUUCCGGACUUCGGUCCGAUGCAGUAUACAGUAUAUGUGUUUAUGCUAGUUGAUAUGUGUUUAUGCUAUGCUAUGAUCAGUCAGUUCCGGACUUCGGUCCGAUGCAGGGGACAAGGUCCCAGUCAGUUCCGGACUUUGGUCUGAUGCAGGGGACAAGGUCCCAGUUAGUUCCAGACUUUGGUCCGAUGCAGAGGGCAAGUCCCUGGUUAGUUUCCGGACUUCGGUCCGAUGCAGUUUCCAGACUUCGGUCCGAUGCAGUUUCCGAACUUCGAUCCGAUGCAGUGGGCAAGGCCCAGUAUGUGCUUUAUAUAUUAUUGUAUGGUAUGUGGUAGUUUGGGGGAGCUCACUAAGCUUUGUGCUUACAAUUUUCAGUUUUGGUUUCAGGUACUUCCACAAGCAAAGGGAAGAGCUCGGGAUGACGGCGUCGCACACACCACAGGCUCAGUUUUAUCCUGGGAGUUUUAAUUGGAUAAUGUUAUGAUCGAUACAAUUUUUGUUUAGACACAGUUACUAUGACAUUUGAGUUACUCAUUUUAUGGUUUUUAUUAUUUAUGAUAUCUGAUGAUGUGAUUUUAGUAAUAUUAAAACAAAAAUUUCUGGGUUGUAUUUUGGGUCAUUACAAGUUGGUAUCAAAGCCUUGGUUUGAGGGAUUUAAGCACACUUACGGGUAUCACUAAACUCAAACUAAGGAAAUAGUAACAGGUUUUUGAAAGAAAAAUGUUUUCAAAAGAAUUUAUGAAAAAGAGACUUAAAAAGAAAAGAGUUUUGAAAACGAGAAAAAGGUGUGGUGCAUGCAAUCAGCCAAGCUCAAGUAAGUACUCCCAAAUUACCCAUAGAAGUUUACAUUAUGAGUAUCUGUUUCAGUUUCAAUAGAACAGCAUGCUAGAAUAGGACUAAGGAUCUUGGGAGAUGCCUUAUGCGCCUGCUAUAUGUGUUUCAGCUUUAUGAGAAUUGCAUGCUAGUACUGAGUAGACAGUAGUAGGAUAGCCUGUUUAGGUUAUGCCUGAUAGUAUGAGCUUAGCAUUGUAUGCUAGUAUAGUUUCUUGUUAUGAGGAUAGAAUUGCUUGAGUAGUUUCCUGUGUUCAAAUGCUGCUUGCUUUGUGCUUUGUGGGACUCCGAGUAAUGGGAGUUAUCCAUUAGGUGAAUACAUCACAUCGUAUGUGAUCAGGGUUGAAUAAUCUUAGAGUGUUGGAUUUGGCCCUACUGCGAAGCUCUUGUUUGAGUCUAACCAUUGUGGCGACGAGUCUUUUACUCGAAGGAUUAUCCGAGCCUCGUCAGAUGUGAUGGUAUUCAGGUGAUGACUAAUUGGUAUUACAAGGAGGCCUUCAGCGGCUGAGGGCUGGUUUUGGUCGAGUCAGAGAUUUCCCUAGGGCAAGCCUAGGAUGAGAGUAGGGGUUUCAAAAAAACCCGAACCCGAUUAACCCGACCCGAACCCGAACCCGAAUAAGGUAAUUAGGGUCGGGUUUAAUAGGGUCAGAACUCUUAAUCGGGUUAUUCAGGUUAACCCGACUAACCCGGAUUAUUAUUAGGGUCGGGUUUAGGGUUGAUUUUUUCAAAGCAAUUCGGGUUUCGGGUCAACCUGAAUAACCCGAUUAAGAAUUUAUUACCAAAACUUUUUUUUUAUUGCGUUGAAUGACAUGAAUUCAAGAUGCCAUGAGAUUUUAAAAGUAAUACAUAUUUAUUAUUUAAACAAACCAGGUAGUAAAAUUACUAUGUAUAGAGAUGUAUAAUAUGACAUAACUUUCCUCUCUUCUUAAUGCAGUACGGUUGUGUUGUAACAGUUUUACGAAUUUUAUUAACUGUUUACGUUACUAAUAUGGUAAAAGAAACUCCAAAAAUUCAUAUCGUAUACCAACUUUACAUUUUAAGUUCCUAUACAUGUGGAUUAUAUAUAAAAAUGGCACAACAUAAAUUCAUCUUACAUUUCAACUUCAACCCGACUAACCCGAUUAACCCAACCCUAAAACCCGAAACUCGGUUAGCCCGAACCCAGCUAACCCGUACCUUAUUAGGGUCGGGUUUCGGGUGAAUAUUUUUUCUAGAAAAACCCGACUAACUUGACCUGUUUAACCCGAAACCCAAUCGGGUUAACCCGAUUAACAGCCCUAGAUGAGAGUAGCAGAGAUCAGUAGCAGUAGUAGUGACUUGGUGGAGUCGAAGCAGUUCUUGAGGAAGGUACAGAUAGAUGUGGAAGGAGGUAGGGGCCCAUACUACUGGAAGCAGAGGAUCUGUACUUGAAUCAAGGAAGGCUGAGAUGAGACCGGGAAACCUAUAGUAGUAGCGAUCCCUUGAGAUAUAUCAGUGUUUCUGACGUUUAUCGUAAUGUGUUUUUAGAAUGGUGGUUUUACGCCCAAGACCAGCAGGAAACAAUUCAGGUGCCGGGGAGGGAUCAGGAUCAGGCUCGGGAGCCGAGCAGUUAGAUGAGCAGACUAGGGAUUUUUUCACUUUAGAGGUUACCCGUAUCAUACUUGAGCAGACUCUGGUGAUCUUUGGUUCGAUCAAGGAGGGUAUCUUAGAGUUGAUGGAUGAGAAGUUGAGCACGUUCCGCGCUGAGGUGGCGGCCAUGAUGGGGUCGCACACACACACCUUCAGGGAGUUCCGAGCUUGUGGAGCUCCAGACUAUCAUGGGGCGCGGGACCCCAUUGCGAGUACCAGGUGGUUGGCAGACGUUGCCAACGCUUUCCGCACGAGCAGAUGUCCCGAGGGGGACAAGGUCAAAUUAGGAUCCUGUCUUUUGAAGGACAGGGCACGUGACUGGUGGGAAGAAGUUGGGCAUGUCAUCGGGGAUGACGCAACGCUUGAGGCCAUGACUUGGGCUAAUUUUACUACCAGGUGUGACAUCCCCAUUUUCAUGGCCAGAAAAGACCGAUUUUGUUUAUGCUUUAUAAAAAUCAGAGUUCUUCUUUUAAUAAAAAUGUUGCGGAAUUUGUUCCCAGAAAAACACGAUAAAUACGUUAUUAAAACAUUUUCGAAGAAACGUAUUUUAUUCAUUUUAAAACGUUUGGGAUGUCAUCGUUAAUACAGAAACAUAAGCAUAAACAGAACUUACAUUUUCGAAGAAACGUAUUUUAUUCAUUUUAAAACGUUUGGGAUGUCAUCGUUAAUACAGAAACAUAAGCAUAAACAGAACUUACAUUUAUUUACACUAGUGAUUUACAUCUCUUUAAAUAUCUCAGUGUAAUGUGACUUCAUAUCAACACCUAUGAUAUAAAUAAACUGAGUGGGUCAGGUUGGGAAACUUGGUGAGUACAUGGGGUUUUCAACCCAUAAUUAUAUAAUUAUUAUGUUUAAACAAUCAAAUAAUCAACCCAAUUACCCAUCCCCAUUAUCUUCUUUACUCUUAAGGAUUUAUCCUAAGAGUCAUCUAUCCUACAUUCGUUUAUUCCUAAGUCCCUUACUUCCAGGGUUAUAGGACUGGCACUAAAUCCAUGGCUGCCAAUGUUCGUUCGUAAAGCACUAAUUCCAUAGUUGCUAUGGUCUACUCAUCGGGUACUAAAUCCAUAGCUACCAGUGUUCAAUAGGUACUAAGUCCAUAGCUACCAAUUCCUAACAGGUACAAAGUCCAUAGCUACCAGCAUCUAAGUAAUAGGUACUAAAUCCAUAGCUACCAAUUCCUAACAAGUACNAAUCCAUAGCUACCAAUUCUUAACAGGUACUAAGUCCAUAGCUACCAGUGUUUGUCCAAUAGGCACUAAGUCUAUAGCUGCCAAUGUAUACUCUCAUCAUCUUAUAUCUCUCAUCAUUCAUCUACCCAUGUCAUACCCAACAUAUUCGUAUAUAUAAAAUACAUAUACAGUUUAAAUCAUUUAAAACAUGUAUAAAACGUUCAUCCAGCAUAGACAGCAAGUACUCAAAUAAUAUGCACACUUAACAUGUAAUUUAUAUAAAAUACUUCAUAUCUAUGUGUAAGAUGAAAGUAACUAUGCACUCACCUGAGUAGGUGGUGACUCAGCACUCGGACAGCGCUUCGAUACUCUUAAAACAAUUUUCCUUCGAUAAAACCUAGUACCAAUACCACUAGGGUUUAGUCUAACGAUAACCGCGACAAAUUAAUAGUCUGACUAUUAUUAUUAUUAUACAAGCGUUAAUAACACUCAAUAUAACUCAUAAUAAUAGCCCAAAUAAUUAUUUUAAAGACCUAAUAACAUUACUAUAUAGAAACAUAAGCUACGCUAAAGAUAGGGUAAGCGUAGCUCACUUACAUCGGGUUUUCUCGAAAAUCGAGCUUUGCUUGAGUAGCGUUUCCGAGCCAAAAUACCCUUUUUCUCGGGACUCCGGGAGCCUCGGGGCUUCCUUCGGGUGCUAGGGGUUUACCUAGGCUUUAGGGGGCUUAAGGGAAGUUAGAGAGAGAAAGAAUGUUGGAGAGGUGUGAAGAGAAGUGAAUGCCCGACACCACUAUUUAUAGGGGUGCUGACUGACCUACUUGCCGAGUAGGAGGACCUACUUGCCGAGUUGGUGCAUGUGGCAACCUUCUGGUGGUGCCACGUGUCCAAUUCUGGUUGUGCCACGUCACCCCUUAUCGCGUAUCAGCCUUCAAACUUAGAAAAAUCAUAACUCUUGCAUACGAGCUCCGUUUUCGAAGUUCUUUAUAUCCACGCGUAGGUAAAAUCAAGAUCUAUAACUUUCGUUUAGACUCCGUUGGCUAAUUCUGGACCGGUAUCAAAUUUAACAAUAGGAGGCGUUUAGACUGUUAAAUGACCUCGAAGAAUUCGUAACUCCUUCAUACGGAGUCCGUUUUCGUCCAUCUUUUUACCGUUGAGUUCCUAUUAAUGAGAUCUUCAACUCUCAUUUAGGUCGCAUAAGCCAAAAACCGCUCGAACUAAAAUUCGAGUUUCGGGCUGUACAUUGCUAAGCCGAAUCUUAGAAAAAUCAUAACUUCUUCAUAUGAAGUCAGAUUUGGGCGUUCUUUUUAUGGAUUUUAUCGGUUUAACAUAUUCUAUGACUUUCGUUUAGAUCACUAAGGCUAAAUCUCGCUCUAUCGUAAAUUCACUUUUUACGCUUCCCGGUGCCGUGCCGGUUCCGUCGCGAAACUUCGAGGGUCAUAACUUCUUCGUUAUAACUCGGAUUUCGGUGUUCUUUAUAUGUAUGGAAACCUUGUGACAUACACUAAAACUUGGUUCAAAUUAUUUAUUCUAAAUAAUCUUUUGUCGAAAUGACAUUUUCGACCCCUAUUAUCUCUAAAUUGACUAGCCCGGAUCUACGGGCGUUACACCAGGUUCAGAGCCGAGUUUGCACCAGUUAUUGAGGUGCAACAGUUAGCCAGAGAGUUCCAUGAUAUUACUCAGACUACAGAGAUAGUGGCAGAGAUUACUGCCAAGUUCAGGGAGAGGGCUCUUCUUGUUCCUCAGUACGCAGCUGAUGAGGAAAUGAAGAAGGGCCGAUAUCAUGAGAUGUUGCGGAAUGAUAUCUGCCAGUUUGUGAGCCGGUCCAGCUGUAAAAUGUUGGAUGAUAUGAUUGCAAGGGCUCAAGAGAGAGAUUGAUUUAGAGAUGGAGAGGAAGAGGAAGCCAGAGACAGUAUCUGGCACAGGGAGUUCGGACAAAAAGCCCAAGGUAUCAGAUCACAGAUCUAGAGGACAGCAGAGCCAAAUUCGGUGUGGCAAGUAUGGGAGAUUGCACGAUGGGGCAUGCAAGGCAGGGAGUCCAGGUUGCUACAAGUGCAGCCGGAUCGGACAUAUGAGCAGAGAUUGUACAGCUACUCCCACCAUUACCGCAACAUCUGAUCUGAUUUGCUUCCAUUGCAAUCAGAGGGGACAUAAAAAGUCCCAGUGCCCGAACUUAGCAGCAAUAGGGAAGGUGUCAGCACCUGCCCCUGCUACAUUGAGGAUUACGGACGGUCGUUAGGGCUGGGCCGAGGCGCCAGUGGCGAAGAGUAGAGCUUUUCAGAUGACAGCAGAGGAGGAGCGAGCGACUCCUGACGUGGUGACGGGUAUGUAUUUUCCUUUUAUCUCUGCAUUUAUUAUUGAUUGUUUCUAAUGUUUUAUGUUUGCGUAUAGGGUCGUUCUUAGUGAAUGACAUUUUAGCUACAGUGUUAUUUGAUUCGGGGGCUACCCGAUCAUUUGUCUCUCUUGCGCUUAGCAAGUGGUUUAGCAGAGCUCCAGGGGAGCUGGAUUGUCCACUCGAGGUGGAGGUAGCCGAUGAUAGGACCGUCGGGGUCGUGAGAGUGCACAAUGCAUUCUCGCUGCAGCUAUUCGAUGAGCAGUUUUCAGUAGACCUGGUCCCUAUUCCUUUGUGAGGGAACAAGGUCAUAGUAGGCAUGGACUGGCUGAGCCCCAAUGGGGCGAUGAUUGAUUGCGAGUUGCAGCAAGUGAGGGUUUGCACUCCCAGCGGGGGAGAGUUAGUGAUUCAGUACGAGAGGCCACAGCGCGGACCGAUUCUUUUUUCAACAGCUAGAGCGAGACGCUACUUCCAGCAGGGUUGCGCAAGGUUCAUCGUCUACGUUUUGGAUGCUCGGGAGAAGGGCAAGGUGACAGUCGACGAUGUACCGGUAGUGCGAGACUACCCGGACGUAUUCCCGGAGGAUCUGCCUGGGAUACCUCCGGAGAGACAGGUUGAGUUCAAGAUUGACUUGGUUCCUGGUGCGACUCCUAUAGCUAAGGCAUCGUAUCGGUUGGCUCCUCCAGAGAUGCAGGAGUUGUCUAAGCUGCUGCAGGAGCUGCUAGACAAGGGUUUCAUCAAACCGAGUAGUUCACUAUGGGGAGCCCCGAUCCUGUUCGUGAGAAAGAAGGAUGGGUCGCACCGUAUGUGCAUAGAUUACCGGGAGUUGAACAAGGUAAUAAUGAAGAACCGUUACCCACUCCCGAGGAUAGACGAUGUUGAAAGAAAAACUUUGAGACACACUUGAACAAAAGUUAGAACAAGUAUAUUGUGGAAUAGUUAAUCUCGAAGGAUCUAAUAACUCAACAAUAAUAUUUAAGUUAGAUGAUUAGAGAGUUAGUUGCGGAAAAUAAAUAAAUGAAAAUGACAACAAUUGUUAUAUCAAGUAUACACGUAAGUUGAUUCAUAACGAGGAAUGCAUUCAAGCCAAGUUAAUAAGUGAGAUUAAACCUAGUGAUUAAGUCACAAAGGACUUUCUCCGAAGAUAGAUUGUAACCAGUUAUGAGAGAAUAUGUAAUGUGAAUAAGUAAGAAAGAGAUAGACAGGAUAAAUCCAGAGAUAUAUAUAUUAGAAAUUGAUAGAUGCGUAUGUGUUACAAAGAGAAUGAGCUCUAUUUAUAGAGACUCAAGAGUUACAUCAGACUCACUCUCUAAGAGUAGCCAUGAAAGGCAUACUGGACAAUAGAGAGGAUUGUAGUAAGACAAAACAAACUGAAUAAUAAAGAGAGAUUGCGGUUCGUUCAGACUUCGGUUGCGGUGGCUAGGAAGAGAUCUUGACUGCGGGUGAACUUAUAACUGCGGUAGCCAAAAAGUUCAAGAGGGUCACUUUUUAUGAUUCAACAAUUUCCCCCUAAGUGACCUCUUUAACUUCCGAUCAUCUAUCAAGUUGAAGAUACUUGAUCAAAAUCCACCAAAACUUCCUGAUGUUCUCCAACCUGGUGAUCCUUCUCAAAAUUUCGAACUUGACCUCUACGGUAGUGAACUUAGAUUUUUCAACUGCGAUUUUGCAGAUGUCAAGUUGCUUCCUGGUGAGCCGAUGCAUGGCAGUUAUAGGAAUGAAGUAUUUGACAUUGUCGGUCUUCCUUUUGAAAAUGAUGCCAAGAUCAGGGAAGUUGGUUGCACCUAAUGAUCUGUCUUCAAAACUUUUGGUGGGCAUUGGUGCGGGGUUGAGCGGUGGCAGAUCAAACUUCUUGGAAAUGAUGGGAUGGAUGUCCGCGUCAAUUUUGGCAAAAUCACAGACAGUUCCCUUCAAGAAGAUGUUGGCCCUUUCAAGUGCAAUCUUCAUCUUCGGAUGCUUCUUUGUUUUGUUCUGAAACACCUUUGCGAUGAGAAAGACUUCCUCCGGAUUCAUGCAAGGGAAGUCCGCCUGGGAGCAAACAUAGUCAUGUCCCCUUCUGGUGAGGGUAUACUGGAUGAACUCUGCCUUCAUAAACUUCCGAACUUUGAAGUUUAUGACUGAGGAUGGUGUGUCGUUGGACCAUAUAUGUUGUAUGGGAGAGGCAUGCUUAGCAUGAAAGCGACUUAGUCUUUCAAAUUCCAUCGGCAGUCGUUGGGCUUCGGGAAGGCUGAGAUCAAAAUACUCAAACACUGUGAAGUAUUUGGAAUUUGGGGAGAUUGGAACAUCCCAGUAACCAUCCGGAGGGGGUUCAACAUAAGUGAUGUGCGGUCUGUAAUCUUCAUCCAGCAGCCUGCGGUGAGGAUUGAUCCAGGAGUUUAUCAAGGAUUCAUCGAUUGAAGUAUCAAAACAACAUUCAUUCCAGAUGAUCUCUGCAAGCUUAGAUGCCUUCCAAUAUUUUUUCUUUUGAGCUAUGGCAGGGGUAUCAUUUGAGCUCGGAGAUGACAUGAAAUCCGCAAGGUUUUUGAUAUGAGGGGGAGUCUUUGGUUUUUCUGGAGUGUUUUCAAAUGGCGGUGGAGAGUUGUGAGGUGGAGUGUGAUGGGAUGGUUGAGGUGAAGGUUGUGGUGUAGCAAUAUUUUCAGUAGGGAUAGGUGAAGUUUGAUGUUGUGAGAUAGAUUGAUUGGAGUGAUGGAAUUCUUAUUCGUUUCCCCCUCUAGAGGAGUUUAGACUCGGAGCCUCCUCAAGCCAUUGACGAAGGCCAUCAACUUUGGCAAACACUUCUUGGAAUUUGGCAUUAACGGCUUCGGCCAGUUGUUGAUUGUUGGGGAUAGAGGGGUUGAAGAGUAGCUUGUGGAUCUCCUUGAUGAGAUGAAGAAUUUCAGGACCAUGGAAAUUUGCAGUCAAAGAACGCUGUAGACGGUUGAUAGUCGAAUGAAGAACGGAGAUUGCAGACUCAUAAGUUGUGUGAGUCUCAGCGAUCAGUUUUUCAGAGUUGGAGGCUUGAUCACCCAGACGUUUUUGCCGUCUGGUUCGGGGAUGUGACAUAAAUAGUAGUGAGCGAAGCAUCGAAGGAGGCAAUAUGGUUGAAGAAGUUCAUUGGAGACCUCGGAGUUGUACCAACCAUAUAGGAGCCUCUAACGUCCCAAAAUUCAAGACUAAAAUUUCUUUUAUAAAACAUCACUUAAAACAUAAUUUUCAAUCCAUAACAUAAACAGAGUAUUAAUUUCCAAAACAUAUGUUCGUUAUCAGAGUAAAACAUCCCAGGCUGUCUAAUCUAUGGUGUGUGCCAUGCGAUCACCCCGAGCUCUUCCCUUCGCUACCGGAAGUACCUGAAACCAAAACUGAAAACCUUAAGCACAAAGCUUAGUGAGUUUCCCCAACCUACCACAUACCAUGCAUAACCACAUAUUGCACAUACUGGGCCACGCCCGCUAUUCAGGGCCUCGCCCCCUACCUCGGGCCUCGCCCGCNCCCCCCCCCCCCCGGGCCCCCCCCCGCCACACCCCCCCCGCCGCUCCAGGCCCCGCCUGGCUUCGAGCCCCGCUCGGACACAAAUCUGUUUCACUUAGGCCUUGCCUAUCACUGGGCCUCGCCCUCUAACAUAUAAUAGCACAUAAACAUAUCACAACACAUAAGCUAAAUAUAUACUAAUGGAUCUUGUCCUAAGGCCUCACCUAUCCUGGGCCUUGCCCUUGUCCUGCUACUGAUGAGCCAUGGAACCCCAUCCACGCUCCGACUGAUAGUGAGUUACGGGCCCAUCCCACACUCACUCUUUNUCGCCCCUGUUCUACUGCUAAUGAGAUGUGGAACACCAUCCACACUCUGCUAUUGGUGAGAUAUGGGACCUCACCCACACUCACCUCCCUACCAGGCACAUACAUGUAUCACACAGACAACAAGUAUAAACUAUCACAUAAAUCAUUCCUUGGGCACCCACCCGCUAUCAUUGGACCUCGUCCUGAAUAUCAUACUAGCAUACUGUGCCUAGGUCUAACCCCCGGGUCUUCUACUCAUAACUACAUGGGUCGACAUUGUGGCCUUAGACCCAUUCAUACAAAGGGAAACUCACCUGCACUUGCUAAACUUGCCGAUAACCCCUCUAGCUGCUGCCCGGUAACUCUCUGAACUCUGCUCCACUAGCUCCCCGAGCUACCAAUAUCAAUGCAACACUUAGUCUAACUGUUCUCCGAAAGUCAACUAAGUCAACUCUGGUCAAAGUCAACCUUCCAGGUCAACCCUACUCACUGAUUCUACCUACUAACUCGCCGAUUUCAUAUGCUCAGAGUCCUUCCAUUCGCGACUCGACUCGCUGAGUCAGUCCAUGACUCGCCGAGUCCACCGAUUUCCGAGUCCUGACCUGUCCAACUCACCGAGUCCCCACUCAACUCACUGAUCCAAGUCUUAACUUGAAGGGUUUGGGAUUUCGCGACUUGACUCGCCGAGUCCAAGAACAAACUCACCGAGUCCAAGGCAAUCUUCAAUAGACUCGCCGAGUUGUUCUUCCAACUCGCCGAGUCCACCCGUGUGACUCGUCGAGUCUCUCCAGUUCUUAAUCCAUUCAGUGGCUUUUCGAGCCAUGCAGGGGCUCCAAAUAAUAGAUCCAUACUUCCAAAGCCUAUUCCUCACGUAAAGUUGCAAACUUUACGUGUAGCUAAGGAGAUCUAGGCCCAAAACACUCCAUACUCUGGUUUAAGACAACCAUGCUUCACCUACACCCCCAAGACUGAUACUUUAUGACUCUCUAGGCCAGAAUACACUUAGAUCUGAAGUAGCAACUUCAUAUCUAGACUUCUAACUCCAAUUGGCUCUUGGACAUGGCAUAAAAGCCCCAAAUAUCAUGACAACAAGGAAACUAUGAGCAAAGGAGUGAAGGUAAUGACUUCUUACCUUUAAAUGCUCUGAAAAGUCACACCAACACUAGAUCCAAGGCUUCCUCUUGCACCACUAUGAACUUCCUUCUCUUCCAAGCUUCAAAUCACAAUACCAAGGCUAGAUCUUUGCUCAAAAACGGAUAUGGUGGCUAGGGUUCGAGGUUCUGGAUGAGGGAAGUUGUAAAGGAACCCUAAGGAAGAGAAUGAGGUGCUUAAAUAGUGCACAAAGUCCCGAAUUUAGGGUUUCACUCUUCAGACCGGACUCGCCGAGUUCAUUCUCCGACUCGCCGAGUUGGUCACUUACUCCUCGACCCGGAUCCCGCUCGGACUCGCCGAGUUCCUCCUUCGACUCGACAAGUCGGCCCUUUAACUUAGGGUUUUCCUUUCCUUUCUUGGUCUUUCUGAUUAAGGGUGUUACAGAGCCUGUGGAGAUUUUCUGUAAUAACGAAUGAGUGAUUGCCUUAACUGUUACACCCCCGAACCAGAACGGCGGAAACGUCCGGAGGCGGGUGACGUCAUUAUGAUGUAUCAUAACAAUUGAAUAUAAAUGAAACAUAGCAAAUACAAACAUCAUACAUUAAGAUAACAAACUUACAUUGUAUUACAUCAUGUUUAUGUUCUCAAAUUACACAAAAGAGACAUUAGUGAGUAAGUUCCAAACUACAACAAAAUAAUCCUGAAGUUCGCGCCCCCAUUAACCUGCUUACUGAUUUCCUGAGAAUACAAGUCGUUUGAAAAGCGUCAAGAGGGUAUCGUCAGAGGAGAACCUAGCAGACCCCCUCACAAAGGGUCUAAGCAGGGUUAAGCAUUACAACAUGCGAGGAGCAUUGGUCUGAAGGACGAUAUUAGUUUUAGUGAUUAGAUAGUUGCUUAGAAAGUUGUAAUAGAUAAAAUGUAAUUGACAUUUGAUGAUUAAAAAAAAGGAGUUUUAUUUAUGAGUAAAGUUACUAUCUUGUGUCAAUUAUUUAAUAUUGCUUCACUUUUGCAUGUUUUGACUUCCUGGAUAAUAGGAUUAUUCGAAUUAUCCACAGUCAACGAUACUUUGGAAGUAAGUUAUGAGGUUAGACUGUCAUGAAUUGGUUUGUAGAUUGUCUAAGUGUUUAGACAUAGCAAAGGUUUGCUGCAACGUUCAUGAGUACUUACAAAAUAAGAUUUGAGUAUUGGAUUAAAACCACACUCAUUUGAAUCACUUCAUGGAAUUUAUCACGAGUGAUUGUGAGACGAUAAUAUCGUAUAAUCUUUAAACCGAGAUAUGUGAGUUGUUGUUUACAAGUUGGUUGUGCAUUGAUAAUGCGUAAACACAUCAGUAACUUGAUGUUAUAAAACAUGUUGCUGUGUACGAUUUGAUGAGUAAAUAGUACAAGCAUAUAAGUCAAAGUCUAUAUGUUCCUUUUAUCCUAAGAGGGUAAAAGCGAUAUCUUAGGCCCCUCGAUGAUUUUGUGUUGACUUAUGUGUCGGGCCUUGUUAGGACUGAAUUGAUGUGUUUAAUCAAGUUCUAUGUCAAACAAAUCAGAAGUCGGGAAACAAACUAUUGGACAGUGACAAUGAUUAUGUUCCAUGUCUUUGUCCACAUGAUAUCUUGCAAAACGGAGGAUUAUAUGAUCCCUUAUCUAAAGGACGCGUCAUUGACUAGGUCAAAGUUCGACAUCGGCUUUUGAGAGCUACGAUUGCUAACCGGAUUUUGAAGUGGUAUUUAUAGUUAUAGUUAUUAGACUUAUCCAAGUGGGAGACUAUUGGAUUAGGUGUCUCAGCCCAUAACUAUAAUUGGGAUGUACUUGACCCAAUGGUAGCAUGGUCCUUUUGGGUUGCCUUCACCAUAACAAUUUGAUAGGAUGAAUUAUGGAGAAAGAGGUUAAUUGUGAUUUAUUAAUGUAUUAUAAGAAUAAUAUAUUAAACUGAGAAAUCAUAUUAUUUAAUUAGUAUUGAUUAGAAAUUAAUUUGUAAUUAAUUCGGUGUUCAAAAGAGACUGAUUAAAUUAUAGGUUGAUGUUGCAAUUAUAUGAUAGUUGCAAGUUGGGCUUGUGGAUUCCUACGAAGGGGUGGACGAAAUUCUAUGUGUAGCCCACAUAGAUUUCGUCUAAAGGGGGGCUUUCUGGAACGAUAUAAUCGAUUGUUUAAGGCUUAAGCAAUUAGAUUAGGGUUUUACCUGAAACUCUAGCAACUCAGCUAUAUAAGGAACCCAUUGGCUUCUUGAAAUCGACCAAUGCAUCAAUCAAGAGAACCAUAUCCGAUUUUAGAGCCUCACCAUCUCUUUCAUAUUCUUCCAAUUGUUACUUGGUGUUUGUAACUCAAUAGAGGUGCAAAAUUUGAGGCACUAAGCUCUUGAACGUUAAGAUCUAUAAGCUACAAGGAAAAGGUAUUCAUCUAACUUUGUUUUAUGUUAUAAAUCUCGAAAAUUGUAUGCUAGAUAGGUUCAUGCUUUCGAUAAUUGAAAUUUCAUGUAUAACUUGAGAAAAACCUAGAUCCAAAGCAUUAGGGUUGCAUGUACACCAUAUGAAUGUUGUAAUGCUCAAAACCCAUCACGAAAAUCCUAAGGGGUAUAAGUCUAUUUAUAAUAUACUACAAGGGUUCUCUGGAUAACCCUAAUCUAAAUAUAAUAUUAAUAUUUCAAAUUGGUAAUUAACCAGCUCCUUAAUUAUCCACGUGGGAUAAUCUACAAACCCUAGAUUAUCCAUAUAGAAUUCGUCUACCCUUUCCCUAGGAAGGUUCUACAACCUCUUGUUCAACUAUUGAACAAUAGCACUUUAGACACUGCACUUUUAAUUAUUUCUUUUAAUCCCAAAAUUAAUUCCAUUUAAUUUCUUAUUAAAUAUUGCUAUUUCUAAUUAAUAUAUUAUUCUUAUAAUAUAUUAACAAAUCAUUAAUUUCAGUUUAUUAAUCAAAUAAUAAAUCCAACCUCUCUCUCCAAAGGUCAUCAUGUCUAGUUGUUAGUUUUGAGAGCAACCCAAAAGGACUGUGCUACUAUCAAUUUAAGUAUAUAUCAAUUAUAGUUAUGGUCUUAGACACAUAAUCCAAUAGUUUACAUGGAAUAGAUCAAUAAAGUUGGCAACUUUAUGGUCUCUAAGGGUCCCUUGAGAAUUAAAUCAUAUGGAUCUGAAGUUUAGUUGUGAUUUAUGAAUCUUGCAUGUGUUUGUGUAAGGAUAGUUUGGUUAGUUUUGUAUGUACUCUUCGUAUGUUUUGAUAUCUAUUUUACUAAGGCAUUUUAUAUGAAGCUUUGAUGUCUAUUCCUUAGUAUAUUUUUUUGUACGCUUUUACUCUCAUAUAAAUAGGAGUCUUUACUAGAGUUAGAUAAGGUUUUACAGUCUUAUCUACUUUUGUACUCUGUAAACCUAAAGCGUAAUAUAGAGCUGAAUCACGAUCUUAUUUACAUCGGUGUUAAAUAUUUCAUUCAAUUUCUGAUUACUUACUCUGAUUCAGAUUCAAACUCGAUUCUUAGAUUCUACAAUUGGUAUCAGAGCAGGAAUCAUAUCUCUGAUCUAAUUUUCAUCUUUUCAAAAGUUUUUGAAUCAAUUUUUGGUUUAAAAGUUUCCACACUUUUUGAAAAGUGAAAAGUUCAUUGGAUCUAAGUUUGUGAUUCGAUUCUACACUUGAAUUGUUGAAUUGAGUGUUCUCCUAGUUGUUUCAAUUUGAAUCAACUAGUUUGUUGUUAAAAAUCUCAAGUUUUCUUCAAAUUCUCAAAGUUUUCUUUCGUACAACAAUGGCGUCAUUCACUUAAUUCCAUGACUUCAUUCUCUCAUUUGUUGGAAUCAUCACAAAAAAAUUCCAAUGCUAAUUCCUGAGUAUUACGAUCAGUGGGCUGAUCGUAUUGAGGAUUAUCUCAAUGGUUUCGAUGAAGAACUGUGGACUUUUAUUUCUAGUAAUAUCAAUCCUCCAUCAAAUGUUCAACCACUUGGAGCGUCUUCUGCAAGUUCUGGAGUAGAGAAUCAAACUCAACGUAUGAAAAAGAUGGAGAAGAAAUGCAUGAGAGAGCUGAGAGGAGCUUUGCCUCCAGUUGUUUACAAUUAUGUGAGUAGUUGUAAAACUACAAAGGAAAUCUGGAACAACCUAAAGGAGAAAUUUCAAGGAAGUGAGAAGACAAGGGUUAAUUCUGUGAAACAAUGUUUGGUGGAAUUGAAAGACUUCAAAUAGAAAGAAAGUGAAACAAUAGAGGCGUAUUACGAUCGUCAGAAUGAAUUGAUCUGUCGAUGCAAUCGAUAUGGAAUCACCAGAUCAGUCAUGGAGUUCAAUCUCAUCUUUGUUAUGGGUCUGAGAAAGGAGUGGCGAAAUGUCAGCAUGAUGGUCAAAAAUCAACAAAGCUUUGAUACGUCAACUUUGAAUGAUAUGUACAAUCAGUUAAAAUCACACGAAAAUGAAGUGAACGAAAUUGCUGAAGAAACGAAGGCAAGCUUGGGAGGACCAUUAGCUUUGGUUUCAACAAUGACUGAGAAAGAAGUUCAUGAGAAAAGUGAUAUUGAUGGAGAAGAGGGAUUCAUCAUGAAUUCUAGUGAUGAAGCAAUAGCAUUUUAUUCAAACAAUUGAGUCAAAAAGUUCUUCAAAAAGCCAUUCAAUUCGAAGAUCAAUUCAUCUGAGAUCAAAGGAAGUUUUGUGAAUAAAACUGCAAGGGAUGAGAAAAAGAAGGAGGAGAAGAAGGAUGCAAAGAAUGUUGAGGGAAAGAUUGAGAAGAAAUUGAAAGGAGAUACUGGAGUAGACUGUCACUACUGUAACGGUGCCAAUCAUUUAGCCAAUGAUUGCAUGUUGAGGAAGAAAUAUGAGAAGAAAAAUAAGGUAAAAGAUAAAGCUUACUAUGCUGAAAGACUGGAAGAGGUUCGUGCGAAGGCAAAGAAAUUGUCAUUGGUUGCCAUGGGAGAACAAGAUGAUGGUGGAACUUAUCAAGUCUGGUCAUCUGGAUCAGAUGAUGAGGAGAUGCGAAAUCCAACACAUUGACUAAUGUUUGCGAAGAUUGAGGAGGAAUCGGAUGAGGAAGCAUACGAAGUUAAAAGAAGAUGCUUCGUAUCAAAGGAUGCAGACAAAUCUCCAAUGACAACAAAGGUACGCAACAUUCUUGAAUCUUUUAAUAUUCCAGUACAUGCUUAUAAUUUUGAAUUGGUAUCUUUUGAUGAAACUGUUACUUAUUUUGAUUCAAUUGUGGUGUCUGCUAGCAAUGAGGCUAAGAAGCUUUCUAUAUAGUUGUUAGAGACAGAGAAGAAGUUCGAAUUGAAAAACACAAAAGUAGAUUGUUUAGAACUUCAAAUUAUAAACAUUAUGAUUGAUAGGGAUAAUUUGGCAAGUGAAAUAAAAUUGUUGUUAGCACAAAGAAACAUUUAUUGUAAUUCAGCUAAAAGAUUGUAUGGGAAAUUAACAGAAUUGCAUCAUUCUUGUGAGAUAAGUAAAGAACAACAUAGAAAGUUAUUGCCUUUUUUAGCUUACGAAAGAGCUAAGGUAGAUAAUAUUUCGUAUGAUUGUGAGAAAGAAAUAGUUGAAUUUGACAAAAUUCCUGAUGAUAGAUAUAGAUAUGGAAUAGUCAAAGUAGAUGAAUGUCUUGUGCUAAUGAAUUAGUUGAAAUUGUAAAUGAUACUUUGACUAAGUCUGAACAAAUUCACAUUUUGAAAAAGACUGAAACUUCAACAUCUGAUGUUCAAUCUAAUUUUGCUGAUAUUGAAGAUAAUUCUAAUAAUAUCAAUGAAAUUAGUGAUCUUGAGGAUGUUUAUUGUUCUCAGUUGUCUAUUACUAAUGUUGCAUCUUCAUCUAAAGGGAAAGAAAAAGUUAAUGAUUUGUUGGUUAAGAAUGAUACUAAUCAACCCUCAACUUUGGAAGUUUAUGAUUUGGACUUCGUGGAAAUCAGAGACGGUCAAACAGAUGAUAGUGAUGAUGAAAAAGAUGAGCAACAUUCGAAGGAAAAGGUAUUUUCAAAGAGUGAAAAAAUUCCUCGAAUUGUAGUUGACCAGGUGUAUGGUGAUACACAAAAGUAUGAAAAAGUGUUGAAAGAACAAGGCGCUCUUUAUCUUGAAACAAAUACUGUGGUGUAUCCAAUUUUCAAGUGUUCAGAUGAUGUCGUGUUUCCAAACCAAGUGUUCGUAACAACUGGAAAUAUUGAAAAUGUUAUACCAGAAUUCAAGAAAAUGGUGGAACAAGACAAUUUGAAAACAUCAGAUGAAGGGUUCUUCACAAAUCAAAGCACAGUUGAAAAGAACCUAACGCAGAAUUCAUAUGUUUUCCAAAAACAAAAAUCUCAGAGAAAAUGGGUUGAAAAAUCAAAACCUGAAAAAGAAGUCACGAAACCAAUUUUUGAGGAAACAAAAAGUGGAGUCAAAUUAAAUUCAAAAGAAUUUAAAGAACAAAUUGAAAAAUUUUCAAAAUAAAAUAAUGUUUCAAAAUGACAAGCACGAAAGAAAAUAUUUUGGCAAACAAUCGAGUCUAGAAAAACGUCAACUGAUUUGUCAAAAACAGUUAAGUCUGUGAGUUCAAACCAUUAUUUAGACAAAAAGAAAACUCCUGCUUAUUCAAGCAAAAAUGUGUCUGAAUCAACGUCCUCAAAAUAUAUUUUCAAAGUGAAAAAAUCAUCUUUUUCAAAAGUAAACCAAGUUUAUAUUCCAAAAAUUCAUACUAAGUUUGAAGUGAAAACAACCCCAAAGUUUUCGAAAGUGUCAAAAUCCAACAUUUCAAGCAAGAUUUCUGAUAAUUCAUUGAAUUUUAAUUCAACAAAGUUUUUUUCUCCACGUCAACAUUUUAAAUCAACAGUUGAUACUUCCUAUGCUGAAUCAUUUGUCUCAAAACCAAAAAUUGAUUUUGUUCCUCAAAAGCCAAAUUUUCCUAAUCAUACGAAGAAACAAACAUUGAAAGCUUCGCAUGAAAAAGGGAUCACUUCACGAAAGAAUAUUGAUCACUGGCUCGAAGGAAGAGGAAGAAUUUAUCAAUCAAGUAAAUAUUCGAAAGAUCAAAUCAACGAAGCUUAUGAGAAGUAUGUAAAUACUUCUUAAAAUGGCAGUUCGUCAUCAAAGGAUUCGAAGAUUGUGGUAAAAGCAUGGAAACCAGUCAUAAAAGAGAAGACUGAACAAUCACAAACUCAGAAUCCGAAGGGUGAUAUAAGUAAUCAUACGAAACAAACAAAACUUUAUGUUUCAAUCCCUACAAAUGAAGAUGUGGACAUUAUUAAUAGUCUCAAAACUAAAGUUUGUGAUUUACUCAACAAUUAUUCUUUCAAAUCAUUGUUGAAAUGUAAUUUCCAAGGACCCAAAAAGCCUUGGGUACCUAAAUUCUUUCAAUGAUCGCAGGUACUUUGUGAUGAGCAAUAUGAUAAUAAAUGGUACAUCAAUAGUGGUUGCUCUCGUCACAUCACUGGGAAGAAGGAGAAUCUUAGAGACUUUCGAAGCUUGAAAUAUGUUGGAGUUGUUAAAUUUGGUAUUAAUCAAAAGUGUCAAGUCAAAGGAUAUGGGAAAAUCACGAAUGGAAAAUUCACAGUGAAUCGAGAUGCUUAUGUUGAAGGUUUACAACACAACUUGAUAAGUGUAUCACAACUUGUGGUAGGCACUGGAAAUCAAAUAUUUUUUAAUGAAGAAGGAAGCAUUAUUUCGAAUGUUUACACAAAAGAAGUUUUUUUGAAAUCCAAAUGGAAGGGUGACAUGUUUACUUUGGACAUCAAUCCAAUUGUGGGUAAACCUGUUGUAUGUCUUCUUUCAAAAGCAACAUCAGAUCUGAGCUGCCUUUGGCAUCAAAGACUUUCACAUCUCAACUUCAGAAAUAUCAACAAACUUGUUGUGCGAGAUUUGGUAAGACGUUUACCUGUACUUAAGUUUGAUAAUGAUUCCUUAUGUGCAGCUUGUGAAGUUGGCAAGCAACAUAAAUAAGGUCAUCCGAUCACAAUUGAUUCAAAAAUUGUCGAACCACUGGAGCUUAUACAUAUUGAUUUAUGUGGUCCUUCGACUGUUUCAAAUCUCAACAACAAACGAUAUAUCUUAGUUAUUGUUGAUGAUUUUUCCAAAUUCACGUGAGUUUACUUUCUCAGAUUAAAAUCCAAAGUGGUACAAAUCAUGAUUGACUUCAUCAAGAAAAUGGAACUAACCUUGAAAAAGCUUGUUCGCAAAAUCAAGAGUGAUCAUGGAACUGAGUUUAAGAACAAUGUUCUUGAUUCAUUUUUAGUGGAAAAAGGCAUUUCGUGUUUUACACAAAAAUCGAUCUUUAUGGGAAGCUGCAAGAACUAUGUUGGCAUAUGCGAACUUACCACAAUAUAUUUGGGCUGAGGCAGUUUCCACUGCGUGUUUUACACAAAAUCGAACUUUCAUUCAUCGACGUUUUAAUAUUACACCUUACGAAAUUAUAAAUAAUCGGAAACCAAAUGUGAAAUUCUUUCAUGUCUUCGGAUGCAGGUGUUUUAUUAUGAAUCUCAGGGAUAACCUUUCGAAAUUUCAAGCUAAAGCUAAUGAAGGGAUUUUCCUGGGGUAUUCGCAUAAUUCAGUGGCAUAUCAUGUAUUGAACAAGCGUACACGAAAAGUGGAAGAAACUUUUAAUCUUAUGUUUGAUGAUUAUUAUAUCAAACAAUCACAACAACAAUUUCAAAAUCUUCCAAUUUUGAAAGAAAAUCAAGAUGAAUCUGAACCAAUGCAAAUCUUGGAUAUUGAUUAUGAUUUGAUAUUUGGACUUUUAGAUCAUGCUGGAAAUGUAGAAAAAAAAGCUCAUGAUAAUCAUAUUCCUGAACAUUCAAAGCUUACUAAUGAUUCAACAUCAUCUCCUCAAGAAAUAGGCGAAAGUAUUCAAAAUGAUCCAAUGGAGGGGGAGCAUUUGGAUUCGAACACUCUGAUGGAGGGGGAGCAUUCUUUCGAGGGGGAGAAUGAGAGAGAUAAUGCUGAUACUGAUGGGGAGAGAUUAAAUGCUAACGGUGAGGAGGAGCUAUUACAAAAUAAUGAAAAUUAUCAUGAUGUUAAUGAUGUUUGUUCAAUUGCAGGUUCAGAUAAUGAUGAGUUGUACGAAGACGCACCUUUGGAUUUCGAUCCAGCUUAUCCACCAAUGGACAAAUGGAUAAAAGAUCAUCCGAAGGAACAAAUAAUUGGAAAUCCAAAAGAGGGAGUUUUAACAAGGGCUCAAAUUCGUACAAAGAAUGAGGUAUUAAAUACUCAUCAAGAGUUUUGCAUUUUUAAUGUUUUUAUUUCUAAAAUUGAACCAAAGACAGUAAAGAUUGCAAUGGAACACUUAGAUUGGGCUGUUGCAAUGCAAUCCGAACUGUCUGAAUUUGAAAGAAAUAAAGUUUGGAGAUUAAUUCCUAAGCCAAAUGAUGUUUCAUUUGUCGAGUUAAAAUGGAUUUUCAAAAACAAAACUGACAAAGAUGGAAAUAUCAUUCGAAAAAAGCCAGACUUGUUGUUAAGGGAUACUCUCAACAAGAAGGAAUUGAUUACGAAGAAACUUUUGCCCCUGUCGCAAGACUCGAGGCAGUUUGUAUAUUUUUAUCUUAUGCAGCUCACAAAGACUUUGAUGUUUAUCAAAUGGAUGUGAAGUGUGCUUUUCUGAAUGGAGAGCUCGAAGAAACUGUCUAUGUGGAACAACCUCCAGGUUUUGUUAACGAAGAACAUCCUAAUUAUGUUUAUAUUUUAGAUAAGGCAGUUUAUGGUUUGAAACAAGCACCACGAGCCUGGUAUGCAACUAUUACUUCAUUUUUGAAGCAAUCUAAAUUUAAACAAGGAUCAGUUGACCCCACAUUAUUUCAUAAGAAAGUUGGGAAUCGUCUGAUGCUUGUUCAAAUUUAUGUUGAUGAUAUUAUCUUUAGAUCAACUGACCCUGCUUUGUCUAAAGAAUUCGAAGACUUGAUGAAAAGUUAGUUCAAAAUGAGCAUGAUGGGAAAAAUUAAUAAUUUUCUUGGUCUAAAUAUUCGUCAAAGCAGAGAAGGAAUCUUCAUUAACCAAGAAAAGUAUACGAAGAAUCUGCUAGAGAAGUUUGGAUUAACGAAUAGCACAAAGUUACGAGUUCCAAUGGAAACUGGGAUCAAACUAACUCCUUUGUUAGAUAAACCUACAGUUGAACUUACUUUAUACAGAAGCAUGAUUGGAUUUUUACUUUAUUUAACUGCUAGUAGAACUGAUAUCAUGUUUUCUGUAUGUAAUUGUGCUAGGUAUCAAGCAAAUCCACGAGAACCACAUCUCACUUGUCACACCCCGAAACCGAUGGUGGAAACAUUUCGGGGUGGAGGAUGUCAUGUAAAGUAUCAUAACCAAUAUACAUAGUAAGCAUGGUAAACACAACCAUUACAUUACAUAGGAAAUUUACAUUUGUUUGAAAAGCAAAGUAAUACAUGUUUUAUCUAUACAUUAGUAUAACAAAAGUAAAGACGAGACUGCUAAAAUGCUCCAUCUUCUCCAAAAAUUUGCGGGAUACCUGUCUAACGUUGACCUGAGAAUACAAGCAAUUUUAGAAAUAUCAGCAUAAAGCUGGUGAGUUCAUAAGCGGUUUGUUUCUGUGAAAGAAAAAUGUUCCUUUAAGUUUGUGAAAAGUUGUUUCCAAGAAAAUCCCAUAUUUUGUUAUAAAAGAAGUUUGGUUAUCCAUUUGUUAAACAACCUAUCUAUGAAAAGUUAAGUUAUCCCAGGAAAAACCCUUAUUUUCCUAAAAAGUUGAUGGUUGGUUGUCGAUUCGGAAUGAAAUGUACAAGUAUCUACCAUACUUGUAGCGUUUAAGUAAAGUUUCCCUGAAAGUUUAGUUAUCCUUGGAAAGUAUAUUAGUUCUAACACGUAUAUAAAACUAAUAAGUAGGUUGUGAACUAAUACCUAAGGGUAUUACUGAUACCCUCUAGUAAUCAAAACAAUUAUUACUUUGAGAUUAGUUCACUAGGUUCAUUAUUACUAACAAGUAAAUCUCCGUUAUCUAAAUUGCGAGUUCCAUAAUCAUACAAUAGACUAGAUAUGGCAAUAAGAAGUCCAGUAUCAUCUUAUGACUUUUGUCACCCGUAGACCUGUCGGUCCCACUGUAGCUAGCAGCGAGGUGCGGGGUAGUCAGCCCCGUAUAGAUCUAUACACUCAAGUCACGCUCUCCAUCCAGGAGAUUCUGGUUACAGAGGCGAUCCUCCACUCGCGUAUCUCUGUGGAGUAUUUCAGAGGACAUGUCUCCAAUUUUUAAGAUUAACGAAUUUACAAGUAAUAAUGCGGAAAAUCCUGUUUUAGAUUCUGGUUACAAAGGUGGUCCUCCACUCGCGUAUCUCUGUGGAGUGUUUCAGAGGACAUAUCAAAAGUUCUAAUCUAAUGCUUUUAACAGUAAUGAUGUGGAAAAAUCAUUUGUGAAAUAUAAAAUAUAACAUUUUAUAUCGAGUUCACAAACAGUUUGAAAACUAACUCUACAAGUUAAACGGUUGGUUAAUACGGUUUCCAAUGUUAAAAACAUAAGGAAUAUGAAACAUUUCAAAUGAAAUAAUAAGUUUGAGUACAAUAUAUCCUUGUACUUUUGCUUGUAUUCCCCCCNNNNNNNNNNNNNNNNNNNNNNNNNNNNNNNNNNNGGGGUAUGAACUCACCAGACGAGAAAUGUGCCGGUUAGGAUGCUAAGUGUCAGUUCGGGGCUUGAACACGCGCGAGGUUCCUAUGUAACAUAAGGAGAUACAUAAUUGUAUCUAAUUAGACGUUGAACUACUAAUUAAUUAAGAAAAUACACUCCGAGGCACGAAAACACUUUAUCUCAACUGUUAAGAAUGAUCCAGGUUGCAUCUAAAGGUGUGUAGGGCCUAGAUAAGGAGUUUACUCUUCAAGAGUAAACCCUUAUGGGUGUUUACGGUCCAAAGACCAUAUCCCCUUGAUUUUAUGGCCAUAAAAUCAUGGUUGGUGUGUUCUUGGAUGUUUAAAGGUCUUACAAUGCACAAGGGAAGGUUCUACGGUUGAAUCAAAGGCUUAGGAAGUGAUCGGGACUUGAAUUGACCUUGGAAAAGGGGUUUACUGUUCUUGAAGGACCCUUGGGGAGUUUACUACCGUAAACACAUGAGUUUAUGGUCGUAAAAUCAAGCUUGGUUCAUUCUUCAUGCGUUUUGGUGGUUGUAGGUUAAGCAUACAAAGUUCUAGACCCAAAUAUAAGCAAUUCAAGGUGUUAAGGGCACUUAAACACCCUUUAUAGGUGUUUACAGUUUUGGGAGACCUUCCCAAACCAUAAACUCAAGUGUUGCUCAUUUGGGCAUGUUUUGGUGCAUCACAUGAAGGAAUACAAGGUUCUAGGCACUCAUGGAAGCUUUUGGAGGUGUUUAAGGGGCAAUUUAACACCUUAAAAGGUGUUUAUGGUCCAUGAAGGUGUGUUUAUGGUCCAAGAAUGUUCUUGGACCAUAAACUCACGUUUGCUACUCAACUGACAUGAUUUUGGUGUUCUAAGCUCGUACAUGCAAGUCCUUAAGUCUUUGCUAAACACUAGAAAGGAUUUUGAAGGGUUUUGGGGCUUCAAAACCCCCUUUAAGGGAGUUUACGGUUUUGGGAGAUGUUCCCAAACCGUAAACACAAGUUCUUGAGUGUUUUGGAUGAUUUAAACAUAGAUUUGCAUGCUUAACAAGUUAAACAACAAGCUAGGAUAGAUUACUUAUGAUUUUUGGAGUUUGAAGGGGCGUUUUUGGAUCAAAACUCGAGUUUUAAAGAGAGAGUAUAGAGAGAAAGUUAUGAGGAGGUGGGAAAAAGCUUAAAUGAAGUCAGUCAGCCUUUAUAUAAGGCUUGAGCUUGUAGCCAAGUGGGAAUCCACCCAAUACCGACGUUAAACGGGGGUUUACAAUUUUACCCAAUUAUAUUGUCGUAACCCGACUUAGUUGUAACUAAAACUGUUCCAAAUGAAUAUCGAGGGUGUUUUAACGUGUUUCUAAUGUGUUCCGACACUUAUGAAGUCAAAAUAAAAGUCCCAAUUUAAUUAACUUAAUCCAAAAGUUAACAGAAAAUUUUAAUAAAAAUAAAUUUUAUUAACGGAAAUGGAAUACAGUGACGGAAUAAAUUUAGAGUUGUCACAUCACUGUUGUAAAGAAUAUCCUUCGUUAUCUCAAAGGAACUUCUUCGCUAGGAUUGUGGUAUCCUUCGAAUACAGGGUUCUUUACUCAAGCAUAUUCAGAUGCAGAUUUGGGAGGUUGUAAUCUUGAUAGGAAAAGCCCAAGUGGAGGAUGUCAAUUACUCGAUGGUAAGUUAGUGAGCUGGCAAUCGAAAAAGCAGACAUGUGUUUCAAUCUCAACGGAUGAAGCUGCAUAUGUUGCUGAUGCUGCUUGCACCUCACAGAUAAUAUGGAUUCAAAGUCAAUUACGUGAUUAUGCAAUUAACAUGAAAAAGAUUCCUUUAUAUUGUGAUUCACUAAGUACAAUAAGAAUUUAUCAUAAUCAUGUGUAACAUUCAAAGACGAAACAUAUAGCUCUUCUUUAUCACUUCAUCAAUGAUCAUGUGGAGGAAGGAAAUAUUGAAGUACAUUUUGUGAAAACAACGGAUCCGUUGGUUGAUAUUUUCACAAAAGCUUUGGAUGAAAAAUCGUUUGCAGGGGAUGAUUGAUGGAAAUUCAAUUCCAUGCGAAAAAGACAAACAAUGAUUACAAGAAAACAACAAAGAAAAAUCAUUAAGUAUUCAGAGGUUACUGUUCACAAUCAACUCUUCAAAUGCUUCGAAUUCGUGUUAUUGGUAUUUAAAAAAAACUUCGAAUAUUUGCAACGAGUACUUUUAAUUGUUUUGUUCUUAAUUUUUGAAAAAUUUAAAAACAUCAAAAAGAUUUUCUUAUUAUUUUGUUCUUCUUUGUUGAAAAAUCAAAAACAACAAAAAGAUUUUGUUUUGUUUUUUUUAAGUAGGAUGUUGCAGAUUUUCAUGAAGAUACGAAGUGGACAAGGCUUACAGUUCUAGGGUGAGGUACAUUUUCAUUCUAUUCUUUGAAUUUUAAAUUUUUUAACUAGUUAGGAUGUCCCUAGAAGCAUGCUGCUGCAUGUUGUCCGAAGCCUCAAAAUGACUCAAUGUUUGAAAGCCUUAAUGAAAUUUUCAUACGAAGAUUUCUUCCCAAUUAGGCUUACAUUCGUAUUAUUCUACCUUACUCUUCUCACAUGAGUUAGGAGUUUUCUGUUUGGUCCAAUAUAACAGAGGUACAUGUUUCUUCGUAUACAAAUCUUUUUCAUCUUAAAGUUCUUACACCAUCACACACGAAGACAUAUGUCCAAGAGGUUGCUGAUCAAACCAAUCAAAACUUAGAUAUAUCACAAAUCUGUGUUUAUGAUCAGACAUCAUGAGACCAUGAUGGAAGUGAAACCCAAUUUAAUCAACCUUUAAGGAAUUAACGGGGAACUUAGUUCCAAAUUUUAACGAAACAUUUGUUUCUGUACCUUCGUUCGAAACUCCAAAUCAUAUUCAAUUCUUAUGUGUGGUCUUGAUCAAGCAUUCGAAACACAUGAUGUUUGUUACCCAACAGGAUCCAGAAUACAAUUUUUCUUGAAUAUGAUUUCAGAGUGAGUUUUAUCUGAAAUUCCUUGUUACUUAAAAGUUUUUCAAAGCAAACUUGUCACUGACUACACUGGUCAAACAAGUAAUUUCUGUUACAAUUACUCACCUUAUGUUUUGGUUGAUAUGUAACAAAAUUUAUUGAACCACCUCAAAAGCCUUUUAAAAGAAGCCCUUCGAUACUUAUUCACAAGUAUUCGAUUGUAAAUCACGGGAAAAUACACAAGCUGUUGAUUAUCUCUCUUGAUAAUUAACGAAGCAAUCUUUGCCCGGGGUUUAACUGCGUUCGUGUCAAAUUGAAUUUUUGACAUCACUAAAUAUCCAAAAAAAUUUAGUUUGCUUCUUAUCUUUAUUCUUUGACACACUUGACACACACGAAAUCCUUGAGGUUCUGAGUAAUACCAACUCAGGCUGAUGAUUUCAAAAAUCUGGCAAAUGAUUUUACUUUAAAACCAUAAAGUAAAAGACCCUUGACUCCAUCCGAAGGGUUCCGACGGUUACUAUUCUAUUGGGGCAAACAAUCCAGGCUGUUUGAAGUGACUGUUUGAAUUCUGUGCGGGUUUUGAGGAGAUGUGACAGUUACUUUAUCACACAUGGUUACUUUUUCAUCAUCACGACGCGGGUUUCACGGUGACACGUCACAGAUCAUUAAAUGCUUAUCCCGCUUUGAUUUCAAAAUUCAGCGUUACAUAUAAAAGGGGAUUCAAGGGUUCAUUAUCAGUUUACGCUUUCAUAUUCCCAAAUUUUCUCUGAUAAACAUCCAACUCUCAAACCCUAACAAUGCCGAUUGCUAAUCCUGAUGCAACUUUGUCUCAUACCACUAAUGAUGUAACUUCAUUGCCGAUCAUGUAGAUUCAAGGAACAAAUUAUCAAGUUGAAACCAACGUGUCUCACUAUCCUGAAGAAUUGAAAAUGCUUAUCGUUGCUUUGAAAAGUUCUGUUUUAUCCAAAGCCAUGUUCAACUCAUUCUCUGUUCCUCUCUCAUGGUUGUCUCAAGCGGGAUCAACAGCAACUUACUCUAAAGCCUUGGAUUCAAUUUUGUUUAAUCUGGUAUAUGAUAAGAAGGUUAGACUUUCCAAGAAGCUUUUCUGCCAAAUUCUCAAGAUACCUAUUUCUCCGCCAUACGUCUCUUCUACAUUCCCACAAAUUGUUCAUAUGUUAAAUGAAAUGGGUCAUCAACCCCAGUUGACAAAGAUUAGUGAUUUCAAGAAGUCAGGACUUCCGAGUGUAUGGAAUUUCUUGUUCGGAAUUUUUCUUAGAUGCUUAACCGGAAAAACUGUUGGGUUGGAUAAAGGGCGGAUGGAAGUUUAUGCAAUGGUUGCAGGUCUAUACUAUGAUCUUCAGGUCGAUUAUUCUACUCAGUUAUGGAAGGAGCUCUUGAAAAAAUAUAAAGAAUACGAAUGCUAUUAAUGGCAUUUCGUGUGCCCGUUAUUGGAGCUUGAUCUUACAGUAUUUUUAUGAGAAAGAAGGAGUUUUGGUACCAGCAAAUGAAGAAAAUGCGGUAUUUCAUAUAUAUAUUUGUCUGAAGGAUGCAGCUGACGAUACAAAUGAAUUCCCAUUUGUUGCUCGCAUUCUGGAUGCUAUGCUGAAGAGAGUUGAUCCCACCAACACCGUUCUUAUUACUUAUUUGCAAAACAUUGAUACUUCUGUUGAAACUGGGGUUCUAUUGGCUAGAGAGGAAGAGAAGAAAUCAAAACGUUCGAAGAAGGUUGUUGCUGAAUCUUCUACGAAAUCUAUUAAAGAAUCUACAUCUAGACCUGGCAAUGGGGCGGGUUUGGAGCGAAUCGACCUUGAUCCAAACCCUUUUAACAAAUUUCAAAACCCUAUCCAAACCCGCUCCGUAACCCGCAGGGUUUUAAAUAAUCAAACCCAUACCCUUAUCCACCGAAUCAACAGAUAUCCAAACCCGCCUCGUAACCCAUAAGUUUUUUGAAUAAUCAAACACAUUUUACUUAAAUCAUAAAAUCACAUUUAUUAAAUAAAACUAAGUUUUGAUUUAGAAAACACAUUAUGUACUCGAGGACUUUCUAUUGGAAUUAAAAUCAUUAUUUUAGUUACUUCCAGUUGGUUUUUGAUCGUCGAUUGCAUUGAUAGAGAAUAGCAAUUACAAACUUUCUUCUGGUUGAUAAAUUACCUUAUUGAUGUAUAAAUGAAAUUGGUGAUUACAUGAUGAAAUAUAAAUGAAAUGAAAUCAUGACUCUUGGGAGAAGACUGGAAGUCUACAAGUUAAGUCCUCGAGUCCUAUGUAAAAACAAUUUAGUCUUUAGCCUUUUCUCUUUGGACUUCUGAUUGGAAUUUAUUGUAAACUUUAGGUAAUAUAAAAUAUAAAUUUAUAUUUCCAAAAUUUAUAUGGGGCGGGUUAUAAACGGAGCGGAUCGGUGAUGAUCCAUACCCAACCCUUUUAAUAAAAGGGUUAGCGGGUACGGGUCGUUAACGGGUAAACGGAUCAAAAACUAUGCUCCAAACCCAUAUAAUAGUUAAGGGUUUGGAUCGGAUCAGGGUCAAAACCCGCUCCAUUGCCAGGCCUAUCUACAUCAGCAAAGAGUCCAAAGAAAGUACCAAUCUCGGAGCCUGAGCCAAUCCAACCAAAUGUUGAUAUUGCUGACACACCUGCGACUAAAAAGGAAAUUAUUCCUUCAAAGACUGGAGUUUUUAGAAGAAUCAAGAUAAAUUCUAAGCACAAGAGUCACUCACCAUUGACCAAUGUUGUUCAUAAACCACAGGUUUCGCAUCGAGUCAUUUUUCGUGAGAUUCCUGCCCCUGCAUCACCGUCUUCUAAUAAGCGAAGGGCAACAGACAUGGCCAAACAUAUUUCAAAAAAGAAGACGAAGGGAAGAGUGUUUAUUUCAUCCGAAUCUACAGCUAAUGAAAUUGAAACCAUUCCAGAGACACCAGAAGCUGAUCUUCAAAAAGAUACUGUAAUACCACCCGAAGUUUCGAUUGCCAAGACAGUUUCUGUGGAGGCACAAACUUCUGACAUUAUUGUAAACAUAUCUAAUAUGGAUGCAAGAGUCACAAUGGGUGAGGAUGCUUUGCAUGUUGAAUACAAAGGUAAAUCUUCGGAUGUUACACCAGACACAGUUGUUUCUUUAUCUUCACAGGUUACACCUAUCAUUCCAACAACAUCCACAACCGAUUCUCCUACUUUUGCAACUAUUAUUCAACAACCAUUCAUAUCUCUGUUUUCUUCACAAUCAAAUGAUCCACCUACCACUACUUUUCCAAUCAAAGAUUCUUCUUUCAUGGAAACAGAACACGACUCCGAAGGUUUUGGCGGAACCUUUGAAAAUUUAGAGUUUAAGGAAGAAGAGACAUACUUUCCAGAUCAUAUGCUAAUGACAAUGAAACAGUUCAAGAUAUUGAAUACCAAACUCAAUUCAAUUCUUCAGUCUCAGGCAGAUCUUGGGGGAGGAAAUUUUGUAACAAGUCUUGAAGUUGAUGGUAUGCUGAAGAUUAUUGAAGGAAGGCUUUCUUCGAAAGUUUCUGGCAUGAUUAAGGAUUCUGAGUCUCGUCUUCUCGACAAAAUUGACAUUUAUGAUCAGAAUAAUGAGCUGAGGUGCAAUGCUCAGAAAUCUACAUUUAAUGGUGAUCUGAAGUCGUUAAAAUCAAUUGCAAAGGAACGACAUAUUUUUUUUAUUCAAGAUGUGAAGAAGGUGAGAGAAGAUGUCAAUUACAAACUCCAAGAACUGCAUCAAGAUAUGGAGAAAGAGAUUGCAAAUGUUCGUACUGAAUUUGCAUCUCUAAAUCAAAAGGUGGGUAUCAUCUGCGAUGUUGUUACUAAAUUCGCAAAGUUGUACGAAAGUUUGAGUCCUCAAAUUACUCAACUUUCUACAAAUGAGAAUAAAAAUUUAAUGGAGGUUUUUUCAAUGCUAAAGGAGCUUAAAGCUUUAUCUUCUGCACAUGCUUCGUCUUCUUUACUCUCUUCUGAAGAUCUUAUCAACAAAUUUUCCAAAUUCAAAGCCUUACUUAUUCAGCAGUUGGCUCCUCUUUCCAGAAUAUCAAGCCUUCUUCCUACGAUGGAUGCCCCACCUGCUAGCACAGGGGUGCAAGGGGGAGAAAAGAAAUUCGAAGGUACGAAGGGUAGUGGUGAAGAUGCGAAGGUUGUGGGUAAGAUGUUUCCUUCCAAAAUUCCAACUUCAAAACCAGUGAUAGCAACUGCUGGUCCUAUCACUUCUACAAUUGUUAAAACUGUGCCAAUUACAAGACCAAUUUCGAAAGGUAUUGUGAUUGGUAAAUCUAUUGAUACUGGUAGAAGAGAAGUGAUAGAGGAAUCAUGUUCGAAGGCAAGGGGAAAGUCAAUUUUAAUUGAAAAAUCUAAAGAUGAAAAGAAGGCAGAGGCUGAUGCAGAAGUUGAGAAGAUAAGGAUGAUACAAAGCAUCAUGACUCAGAGGGCCAGUGAUCCUCCUGGUAUGAACAAGGGUGAUCCAUCGAAGAACUACAACUAUGAAACAAUUGAAGCCAAGGUUGCAUUCAAUCACAUGUAUUCGUUUGAGAAGAAGCCUAAACAGAGUUAUAUUGUCACGAAUACGGAUGCAAGCCAAUUGGUCUUUCCAAUUAACGAAAUGAUGUUCAUCAUGCCUCAAUUCAAAGCUGAAAGUAAAUUCAAGGAGAAGGAUGAAGGCACACACAUGAAGAUAAGAUUUCAUGCGGUUCUUGCCAAGCCUGCAGAAGAAGUGUGGUCCUUAGUCAAGAUCAAGAAGGUCAUCAGUAUAAAGAAGGAUGUGGUCUUCAAAAACACAGUCCAAAACAUUAAGUAUAUUGUAACCAGGGCAAAUGGAGAUUUGUGCGAGUUUACAAUAGCAGACUUUCCUUUGAUGAACUUGUAUGAUCUUAUACAAGUUGCAUUACUGCUGAAGGAAAGAUCAUUUUCAUAUCUUCAAAACACUGAGCCUAACGAAUACAAGCUGGGAGUUACUCACAUCAAAAUUUUUAUCGAGAAUUAUUAUGAAUGUCUGGCAAUGACAGAUGUGGAUUUGGCUACAACAAAAGGUCUGGAAAUUACAUCACCAAUGGCUCCUUCGAAGACUCAAGCUGACUUGAAGAAAUAUGCUGAUGGUGAAAUAUGCUUGAAGCCUUUUGGCUUAGUCUUCUUUGGGAAGGACAAGUCAGGAAAGUCUAAGAGAUUUUUGUUCCAUGCAAGUGAAGUUGAAAGAUAUUCUACUUCGCAAUAUACGAACUUAAUUGUUCGUAUGAACCAUUGAAAGAAGAAUAAUGAAGGUGACAAGAAGGAACUUAAAAAAAUUAUCUCUUGGUAUACUGAGAUACGAAGAGUAAUGUUGUACUCCAUUCAACUUCUUACAAACUGAAGUCUUCAACUCUAUUUACAAAGGGGGAGAAUGUAAGGGUAGUUUGGUUGUAAAGAGUCGAAGUUUUGUAUGUACUCUUCGUAUGUUUUGAUAUCUAUUUUACUAAGGCAUUUUAUACGAAGCUUUGAUGUCUAGUCCUUAGUAUAUUUUUUUAUACGCUUUUACUCUCCUAUAAAUAGGAGUCUUUACUAGAGUUAGAUAAGGUUUUACAGUCUUGUCUACUUUUGUACUCUGUAAACCUAAAGUGUAAUAUAGAGCUGAAUCAUGAUCUUAUUUACAUCGGUGUUCAAUCUUUCAUUUAAUUUCUGAUUACUUACUCUGAUUCAGAUUCAAACUCGAUUCUUAGAUUCUACAGUUUGGAACCAUUUCUUGCCAUUAGAUUUGAGUAGGGUUUAGGACAUAAAUGUAAGAGUUAGGUUUGAAAGUUGUAUGGAUUAAGAACAUUUGAGCUUGGUUUAUAGCUCCAGGACGUUCUUACGACGUGAGACAUGAGGUCUAGGUUGUAUGGAUUAAGAUUAUUGUAUUAAUUAAUUAAAAAGCUUGAAUAUUAAUUAAAUCCUAGAGAUUAAUUGAAUAUUCUAGAAGUUUCUGGAGCAUUGGAAUGGACGGUGCCUACAUGACCUUGGAUAGAGAUAUAGCAGGUUUUGAAUAUGAUAAGAUAGAUUGUAAGAGUUUAAAACCCUUGGUUAUUUGCAGCCUAUACCCCUAUUGGUUGUUUUUCCAUCUCAUAAUCAUCCAUAUGCUCCCCUUCUCUCUUAUAUACGAAAUUCAUAACUCCUCGCCUAGACUUACUGGAUUUCAUAUAAACCCUAAUUUAAGGUUUCUCCUUGUUAGCUUUUGGUGUUUCUGACUUGACUACAUUUGAGGGAAACCAUCAGACGUCACUGAUCUGUUCUUUACGGUCAUCGAUCUGCAGAGUUGUAUCAAGGAAAGAGUGGCAACGAUUGAUUCUUACGUCGUAAAUCACUAGAUGUUGCUUAGAAACCAUCAUACACCUAACCCUAAAAUCGUCGUUACCAUUUUCAUUUUGCAAACCAUACAUGGGGUGGGGUGUUGACUUAAGAGGGUGGCUGUUUUUUUUUUUUAAUUAAAAUAAUAAGAAAUUAAUUAAAAAAAAGGAAUCAAUUAAAGACAUAUUUGUCAUUUCAAGUAUGGUAUGGACCAAAACCAUGAAAAAAAAAAAGAUAACAAUUAGGACCAAAACCACAAAAAGAAUCCAAACUUUGACGACUUUUGCACCAAAUUUUUUUGGACAAAAACCACAUAAUUUUGACAACCACAAUAAGAGUUUAUAAUUUUAUCAAAUUUAUAACAUAAAAGUUAAAACAAGAGUCGGAUAAAGAGAAAUAAGAACCAUGCAUCCACACUAAACCUGCACUACAAAUGGCUGGAUAUACUUGCGAAGAAGCAUAUGCACAAAUCAAUGCAUCACUUGGGAAGGUAAAAUGAAUAAUGCCAAUUUUGCACUCACAUUUCUAUGCUGAGAUGUGAAAUUGUAACAAAAAUCUAUAAUGAAGAGGAAUAGGGAAAAAAAAUCAUGCAAAUAACACUCAACCGGAGUUAGAUAACAUGAAACAAGUUUUUACAUGCUGAUCUAUGAACUGAACUUAAAAUACAUUGAUCGACUGUACAUGCUUCUUCANGAAGCAACUGUUUCAUCACCAACACAGAGAUCUCGCUUUUGUAACCUUAAUCAUCACAAACAACAGUUUUUCCCUUGUUUCUUCUGCUGUUUUUCUGUUAUCAGAAUUUAGAAACAGUUCAUGUAAGUUAUAUAGUAUAUUAGUAUUGUAUAAAAUAAGUUGUAACUUAAGACAGUAUAGUGUAAUCAAGAUAUCAUUCCUAUGUUAGAUCCAGUUGUAAUCAGUAAAGUGAAGAUGAAAUUCAUGUAUUUGUUUUCCUGCAAUUGUAACUGUUUCUACUUUGUACUGUAAAGUCUAAUAAUUGAAGCAGUGAUUAAAGAUUCUAUCACUACAAAUAUUAUUCAGCCACAACCAACAGAAUGGUGAAAAAUAUUUGGUGGGAGCAUCAAAGUGCAACUAUUUUGAAAACCAUGGACAAUUAUGAUAACCCCCACACAUUUCAAAAUUGGCUGAAAUGAAUAAUUACUUUCAUUAUUGUAUUAAUGCACCCCUUCAUCAAUCGAUUGCUCCUAGUGUCAUAGAGUUAUGGAAACUACUCAAAAUUUUAUACUUACAGAAAGCCUUUGCAAAGAUACAUUUAAAAAAAAAAAAAACAAAUUAAAGACAUUCAAACAAGGAACAAGAAUGUCAAUAUAUAAUGUGAAAAGAUUAAGCAACUACAUGAGCAAUUGAAAUCAGUGAGCAAUUUUGUACCUAAUUGAGAUUUAGUUCUCAAAAGGAUAGUUGGACUAGUUUUCCAUUAUCAUUGUUCAACUUGACAGGUGUCAAAAUAUGUUUCUCAUCUCACAUACAAGCCUCAGUAACUAAUUCCAAGUAACUAAUAGCAAGUGGUAUUUCACCUCUACAUCUAAAUAAGAUUUUCACAAAUUCAGAACAUGUAAAAAUGAAAUCAACAGAAGUUGUUCAUUCUGAAAUGACUAAUGGAUACAUUAUGUCAAGUAAUUAUACAAGCACAAUUUAGCAAAUAUUUUACCAAAUAACAAAAGAACAGAGAAUUGAACAAUGACUCAAUGAGUCAUAAACAAUAAAACACAUCUCAUGGUCCCCCCCAAAGAAAUAAGCUAAAAAGAAAUACCAAAUAUGGUUUUAAAGGAAAAACUAUGCAACAAAUAAAUAUAUGGAAGUGAAAGAUAAAUAGCAUUUCUGUUCACAAUAAUUUCACAGAUAUACAAUAAUAUUUAGCUGUGUCAAAAUCAAUCCUACUAGAUGAGAAUUCCAUCCACUAAACCUUAAUGGGUUUAAUUAGUAUUAAUUCCGUUUAAAGAUAUUAUUAUUAUCAUCGUCAUUCCAAAUGGAAGUUGUGUAAUUUUAACAGACAACAAGUCUACACACCAACCCUAGUUCACCAUUUAUUUUGGAUAUCCGAAUGGAAUGAUUUUUUAAUUUCAAAGUAUUUGACUUGUUAACCAAUUUAAUUCAUUUUGCAGUCCAUUGUGACACUUCCAUGUUGACAACCCUAGUCAUAUUAAAUCAGUAAGCAUACCACGUUAACAAAAAAGUAUUGAGUCCCAAAUAGAACUUUUAUUGUAAAAUAUGCUUGGAUUAAGGUGAUAAUAUUUAAAUUUUUUGUUUGACUGAAAGUUAUUUAAUUUACACAUUAUGAAACAAAAAGAAGUUAAAAUACAUAGAGAAGGACGCACCUUCAAAUUAACAUAAAGUCAUCCCCAGAGGCAGGGGAUUAGAGAGACGACUGGCCAAUACGAGCCUCCUAUAUUAAUCUUUGUUUUCAGAUUUGGGCAUUCAAAAAUUUUCAAACUCACAAGCGAAGGCAACAACUUUUCUGGUAGAUCCAUCAUCUUUGGGCACUUGUCAAUGCUGAGAUGCUGGAGGGAGGUGAGGUGUUGGAGUCCCGUUGAAACUGAUUCCAAUUUCUCAAAUCUUUCUAUCCAAAGAGAAGUAAGAGAUGAAGGAAAAAGACCGGACAACCGACUAAAAUCAGUCACAUCUUCAUAUGGUCCGCCAUAUAGAUGUAGGUAACCAAGUGAGGUUGGAAAACUCUGUGGGCCCCACUCUGACAUGGGCUUCUUCAACCCUCCUAUGGUAAGGUAACACAGUUUUGGAGGCCAAAGCCCACCAGGAAAGGAAGCAUCCAUACUUGUACAGUUUUUUAUUUUCAAAUGUGUUAACAAGGCAAGAUUCGGCAACUCAUGGUCAGGAAAUGGAAAUGACUCUAGACUUGGACACUCUUCUAUUACGAAUGCUGUCAGUUGGAUGAAGUACUUCAAUUCAUUCAUCGAUUUAAGUUUCUUGCAGUCCCCGAUGAAAACUGACUUGAGCUUCUGCCCUCCUCCUGUUGGGAAAGACACAGAUGUAAUUGAAUCACAGGUAAAAAUAAACAAUGACUGAAGACUAUCUGGACAGCUGCAAUGCUGUAAGCUGGCACAACCAUAUACCCACAACAACCUAAGAGAUGUUAGGUUGCUCCCACAAUUAUCCUCCUCUUUCUCUCCUAAACUCACCAAAUUUGAACAAUAACGUACCUCCAACCUCCUUAAAUUCGCAAGAAGCUUACCUGCCUCUGCUUCAGAUUCCCACAAGUAUCUUAUUUCACUACACCUUUCUAUCGUUACUUCUUCAACUUCCCCAAGAUACUUCAUAACACCUCCCCACACCUCAUGAGUAAGACCUGAAAUAUCAUGUAAUAUCAACUUGGUGACUGAUGAAGCGACAUGAACCAGGCUUGUCAACACACCAUGACCACAUCCUUUUACUGUCAUAACUCUGAGUAAAGGUAGUUUUUCAAGUGAGACUUCAACCAGAUUAGGACAAAAUAAAAUAAGAAGCUUUUUAAGGCAUGGAAACACUGCUGCAUCUACAACCCCAUUGUUAUUGGUUGACCAUACCUCCCAUGAUGGCAUACUAUCAAAAGCUAGAAUUUCAAGGGAAAGGAAUGCAACACCUGUUCCAAGCAACUCCCAACCUACAAUUUUCACGUUACUCAUCUUCCCAAUAUACAAGUCCUUAAGUGAUGGUAGUUGCCCAAGUUCUGGUAGAGAUGUACAUUCUUCACACCCAUAUAUCGACACGUGAGUCAACCCAAGAAACGAAGGAUCUCCAACCCAAUUUGGAAACUUUAUACCUGCAUAUGACACAAUUUCAAGCUUCUUCAAACUAUCGGUUUGAGGCUUCAACUCUGUAAGGACCUCCUUAUCAUGUGUCUCCUUUCGAAAAACGUUUAACCCGGUAUCACUAUGACACAACCUAAGCCUCUUUUGCAAUAAUCCAUAACCCCAAUCCAACUCCAACUCACUAAGCCUUUUUUGUGUUAAGUGUGCAUCGCAUGCCUCCAUUGCAUUUUGUACAUUGCCCAGCCCCCAAAUGGAAAUUUUCCCAUGGAGAUUUUGCAAGUUCUUAAGCUCGGUUAUUGCAAAUCCGUUUUCACCUCCAAUUAUGAUCUUGGAGAGAGUUUGUAGGCCUUUCAACUCACCAAUCCCUAAGGGCAUCUUCUUCAAACCUGGAGUAUCCCUAAUGUCCAAAUGCCUCAAAUUUUUAAGCUUUAAGAAGCUGUUGGGCAAGUUAAUUAAACUUUUACAGCCAAAAAGGAUCAAUGUCUGGAGAUUAUAAAGAUUGCAGACAUUUUCUGGUAAAAGCUUGAUAUCAGUUCGAGAUAAAUUCAGAUACCGCAAGUGCUUUAGACUGCCAAUGAAUUCGGGUACCUCGCUUAUGCUAAGAUUACUCAAACUUAGGACCCUUAACAAUGGUAACUCCUGAAGUAAGUUCUCCAGGACCUUGUUUGAUAAGUAGAAUCUUUGCCAACUGUCUAUCACCCCAACAGAUACCGCUAUCAACGUUCUCAAACUUUUAGCUCCUUUGAGUGGCUCGAACCUUCCGGAAACCAUGUAUUCCUCACGAACAAAUGACAGAUGGCGGUACUUUUCGAAUGAUUCAUUCCUAUGUUCUUUCUCCGUCCCAAUGUCUACCCUUGAAAAAAACUCCCCAGCAACAGAUGUGGCCAAGUCACUCAUGAGAUCAUGCAUCACAAACAACGAUCUGUCAUUUGGUGCAGGUUGAAAAAAUGACCUUGACCACAACGCAUUAAAAUACUCGAGACCCAAGCGUUCCAUUGUCUUGUUUGUCGUUGAUUGCAAAAAACCUUCUGCCAUCCACAACAAAAUCAACUUCUCCUUGUCAAACUCAAAGUCCUUGGGGAACAAGGAGCAGUAUGCAAACAACUGCUUCAAACAUGGAGAGAGAUCAUGGUAGCUUAAUUUGAGAGCCGGAACAAUCCCAUCUCCCUUUUCUAGACUCCAUAUCUCACUAUUCAGCACUUCUUUCCAGUCUUCCUCAUCUAUUUUUGUCCUUAAUAACCUUCCAAGUGCUUUCAAAGCCAACGGCAACCCAUUACAUUUUCUAACAAUACCUUCACCAUGUGGUUUAAGUAGCGGAUGUGAAUCAAAGUUUUUUUCUCCCAAUGCAUGCUGACAAAAUAAGGAUAAAGCACUUUCAUCUGAUAGAAUAGGCAAAUGAUAAGGUUCAUUGUUACCAAGUUGGGUUAACAACGACAUCUUCCUGGUUGUCAUGAUAACUUUACUUCCGGGUGCCCCUGCAAGAAAUGGCCCUGCUAGGAUUUCCC
RNAcentral lists this long non-coding RNA (52388 nucleotides) under Lactuca sativa (garden lettuce). RNAcentral's name for it is "long non-coding RNA (LSAT_LNC002940)". The record is from RNAcentral. Lineage: Eukaryota; Viridiplantae; Streptophyta; Magnoliopsida; Asterales; Asteraceae.